GGAUGCGAUCAUACCAGCACUAAUGCACCAGAUCCCAUCAGAACUCCGCAGUUAAGCGUGCUUGGGCGAGAGUAGUACUAGGAUAGGGGACCAACCAGAAAGUCCUCGUGGUGCAUCCCACUUUUUCUUUCGGUUUUUCUCUAUUUUGUUUUGUUAAAAAUGUAUGACUCUAUAACGUUUAGACCGUGAGGCAAAACUUGGAAUGUGAUACCUUUUCGGAAAGCCCAAAGAGAGCUCUCCGAUAAAUGAGGAAGGAAAAUGGAAUUCUUCUAUUGGUUUUUUAUUCUACUCCAAAUUUUGACCUUAAUGUACUUUUUUGGUCUUUUUGGUGAUCUUUGCUAUAUGACAGGGCGAAAAUUAUAUGAUCGGACAUUGUUUUCGAAUAUUUUGCAUGUAUCAAAGCUCUUAUAAACAAGAUAGGGUAUUCCUACAUAGCUGGUGGGAGCCACGGCAAAUGGAUCUUAAAGUCUUCAAAAAAAGAAUAGAUACGAUUGCAUUGGAUGUAGUAAACGGAUGCGAUCAUACCAGCACUAAUGCAACGGAUCCCAUCAAAACUCCGCAGUUAAGCGUGCUUGGGCGAGAGUAGUACUAGGCUGGGUGACCUCCCGGACAGUCCUCGUGUUGCAUCCCUCUUUUCUUUUUCGGUUUUUCUCUAUUUUGUUUUGUUAAAAUUGUAUGACUCUAUAACUUUUAGACCGUGACGCCAAACUUCGCAUGUGAUACCUUUUCGGAAAGCCCAAAGAGAGCUCUCCGAUGAAUGAGGAAGGAAAAUGGAAUUCUUCUAUUGGUUUUUUUGCUAUUCCAAAUUUUGACCUUAAUGUACUUUUUUGGUCCUUUUCGUGAUAUUUGCUAUAUUACAGGGCAAAAAUUAUAUGAUCGGACAUUGUUUUCGAAUAUUUUGCAUGUAUCAAAGCUCUUAUAAACAAGAUAUGGUAUUCCUACAUGGCUGGUGUGACCCACGACAAAUGGAUCAUAAAGUCUUAAAAAAAAAGAUAGAUACGAUUGCAUUGCAUGUAGUAAACGGAUGCGAUCAUACCAGCACUAAUGCACCGGAUCCCAUCAAAACUACGCAGUUAAGCGUGCUUGGGCGAGAGUAGUACUAGGCUGGGUGACCUCCCGGAUAGUCCUCGUGUUGCAUCCCUCUUUUCUUUUUCGGUUUUUCUCUAUUUUGUUUUGUUAAAAUUGUAUGACUCUAUAACUUUUAGACCGUGAGGCCAAACUUUGCAUGUGAUACCUUUUCGGAAAGCCCAAAGAGAGCUCUCCGAUGAAUGAGGAAGGAAAAUGGAAUUCUUCUAUUGUUUGUUUUUUCUAUUCCAAAUUUUGACCUUAAUGUACUUUUUCGGGCUUUUUCGUGAUCUUUGCCAUAUUACGGGGCGAAAUUAUAUGUUCGGACAUUGGUUUUGAAUAUUUUGUAUGUAUCAAAGCUCUUAUAAACAAGAUAUGGUAUUCCUACAUGGCUGGCGUGACCCACAGCAAAUGGAUCAUAAAGUCUUCAAAAAAAGAAUAUAUACGAUUGCAUUGCAUGUAGUAACGGAUGCGAUCACACCAGCACUAAUGCACCAGAUCCAAUUAAAACUCCGCAGUUGAGCAUACUUGGGCGAGAGUAGUACUAGGAUGGGUGACCUCCCGGAAAGUCCUCGUGUUGCAUCCCUCUUUUCUUUUUUUUGUUAAAAAUGUACGACUUUAUAACUUUUAGACCAUGAGGCCAAACUUGGAAUGUGAUACCUUUUCGGAAAGCCCAAAGAGAGCUCUCCUAUGAAUGAGGAAAGAAAAUGGAAUUCUUCUAUUGGUUUUUUAUUCUACUCCAAAUUUUGACCUUAAUGUACUUUUUUGGUCUUUUUCGUGAUCUUUGCUAUAUGACAGGGCGAAAAUUAUAUGAUCGGACAUUGUUUUCGAAUAUGUUGCAUGUAUCAAAGCUCUUAUAAACAAGAUAGGGUAUUCCUACAUAGCUGGUGGGAGCCACGGCAAAUGGAUCUUAAAGUCUUCCAAAAAAGAAUAGAUACGAUUGCAUUGCAUGUAGUUAACGGAUGCGAUCAUACCAGCACUAAUGCAACGGAUCCCAUCAAAACUCCGCAGUUAAGCGUACUUGGGCAAGAGUAGUACUAGGAUGGGGGACCUACCAGAAAGUCCCCGUGGUGCAUCCGACUUUUUCUUUCGGUUUUUCUCUAUUUUGUUUUGCUAAAAAUGUAUGAUUCUAUAACGUUUAGACCGUCAGGCCAAACUUGGCAUGUGAUACCUUUUCGGAAGCCCAAAGAGAGCUCUCCGAUGAAUGAGGAAGCAAAAUGGAAUUCUUCUAUUGUUUUUUUUUUCUAUUCCAAAUUUUGAGCUUAAUGUACUUUUUCGGGCCUUUUCGUGAUCUUUGCUAUAUUACGGGGCGAAAAUUAUAUGUUUGGACAUUGUUUUCGAAUAUUUUGCAUGUAUCAAAGCUCAGAUAAACAAGAUAGGGUAUUCCUACAUACCUGGUGGGACCCACGGCAAAUGGAUAGUAAAAUCUUCAAAAAAGAAUAGAUACUAUUGCAUUGCAUGUAGUAAUGGAUGCGAUCAUAUCAGCACUAACGCACCGGAUCCCAUCAAAACUCCACAGUUAAGCGUGUUUGGGCGAGAGUAGUACUAGGAUGGGGGACCUACCAAAAAGUCCUCGUGGUGCAUCCCACUUUUUCUUUCGGUUUUUCUCUAUUUUGUUUUGUUAAAAAUGUAUGACUCUAUAACGUUUAGACCGUCAGGCCAAACUUGGCAUGUGAUACCUUUUCGGAAAGCCCAAAGAGAGCUCUCCGAUGAAUGAGGAAGCAAAAUGAAAUUCUUCUAUUGUUUUUUUUUCUAUUCCAAAUUUUGACCUUAAUGUAGUUUUUCGGGCCUUUUCGUGAUCUUUGCUAUGUUCGGACAUUGUUUUCGAAUAUUUUUCAUGUAUCAAAGCUCUUAUAAACAAGAUAUCGUAUUCCUACAUGGCUGGUGUGACCCACGACAAAUGGAUCAUAAAGUUUUCAAAAAAGAAUAGAUACGAUUGCAUUGCAUGUAGUAAACGGAUGCGAUCAUACCAGCACUAAUGCACCGGAUCCCAUCAAAACUCUACACUUAAGCGUGCUUGGGAGAGAGUAGUACUAGGAUGGGUGACCUCCAAGAAAGUCCUCGUGUUGCAUCCCUCUUUUCUUUUUUCGGUUUUUCUCUAUGUUUUUUUGUUAAAAUUGUAUGACUCUUUAACUUUUAGACCGUGAGGCCAAACUUCGCAUGUGAUACCUUUUCAGAAAGCCCAAAGAGAGCUCUCCGGUGAAUGAGGAAGGAAAAUUGAAUUUUUCUAUUGGUUUUUUUUUCUACUCCAAAUUUUGACGUUAAUGUACUUUUUGGGGCCUUUUCGUGAUCUUUGCUAUAUUACGGAGCGAAAAUUAUAUGUUUGGACAUUGUUUUCGAAUAUUUUGCAUGUAUCAAAGCUCUGAUAAACAAGAUAGGGUAUUCCUACAUAGCUGGUGGGACCCACGGCAAAUGGAUCGUAAAGUCUUCGAAAAAGAAUAGAUACGAUUGCAUUGCAUGUAGUAACGGAUGCGAUCAUACCAGCACUAACGCACCGGAUCCCAUCAAAACUGUGCAGUUAAGCGUGUUUGGGCGAGACUAGUACUAGGAUGGGUGACCUCACGGAAAGUCCUCGUGUUGGAUCCCUCUUUUCUUUUUUCGAUUUUUGUCCUCUUUUUUUUGUUAAGAAUGUAUGACUCUAUUACUUUUAGACAGUGAGGCCAAACUUCGCAUGUGAUACCUUUUCGGAAAGCCCAAAAAGAGCUCUCUGAUGAAUGAGGAAGGAAAAUUGAAUUCUUCUAUUCUUUUUUUUUCUACUCCAAAUUUUGACGUUAAGGUACUUUUUAAGGCCUUUUCGUGAUCUUUGCUAUAUUACGGAGCGAAAAUUAUAUGUUUGGACAUUGUUUUCGAAUAUUUUGCAUGUAUCAAAGCUCUCAUAAACAAGAUAGGGUAUUCCUACAUAGCUGGUGGGACCCACGACAAAUGGAUAGUAAAGUCUUCAUAAAAGAAUAGAUACUAUUGCAUUGCAUGUAGUAACGGAUGCGAUCAUAUCAGCACUAACGCACCGGAUCUCAUCAAAACUCCGCAGUUAAGCGUGUUUGGGCGAGAGUAGUACUAGGAUGGGUGACCUCCCGGAAAGUCCUCCUGUUGCAUCCCUCUUUUCUUUUUUCGGUGUUUCUCUAUUUUUUUUUGUUAGAAAUGUAUGACUCUAUAAGGUUUAGACAGUGACGCCAAACUUCGCAUGUGAUACCUUUUCAGAAAGCCCAAAGAGAGCUCUCCGAUGAAUGAGGAAGGAAAAUUGAAUUUUUCUAUUGGUUUUUUUUCUACUCCAAAUUUUGACGUUAAUGUACUUUUUUGGGCCUUUUCGUGAUCUUUACUAUAUUACGGAGCGAAAAUUAUAUGUUCGGACAUUGUUUUCGAAUAUUUUGCAUGUAUCAAAGGUCUUAUAAACAAGAUAGGAUAUUCCUACAUAGUUGGUGGGACCCAUGGCAAAUGGAUCGUAAAGUCUUCAAAAAAGAAUAGAUACGAUUGCAUUGCAUGUAGUAACGGAUGCGAUCAUACCAGCACUAAUGCACCUGAUCCCAUCAAAACUCCGUAGUUAAGCGUGCUUGGGGCGACAGUAGUACUAGGAUGGGUGACCUCCCGGAAAGUCCUCGUGUUGCAUCCCUCUUUUCUUUUUUCGGUUUUUCUUUUUCUUUUUUUGUUAAAAAUGUAUGACUCUAUAACUUUUAGACAGUGAGGCAAAACUUCGCAUGUGAUACCAUUUUGGAAAGCCCAAAGAGAGCUCUCCGAUGAAUGAGGAAGGAAAACUGAAUUCUUCUAUUGUUUUUUUUUCCAACUCCAAAUUUUGACGUUAAUGUACUUUUUUGGGCCUUUUCGUGAUCUUUGCUAUAUUGCGGAGCAAAAGUUAUAUAUUCGGACAUUGUUUUCGAAUAAUUUGCAUGUAUCAAAGCUCUUAUAAACAAGAUAGGGUAUUCCUACAUAGCUGGUGGGACCCACGGCAAAUGGAUCGUAAAGUCUUCAAAAAAGAAUAGAUACGAUUGCAUUGCAUGUAGUAACAGAUGCGAUCAUACCAGCACUAACGCACCAGAUCCCAUCAAAACUGUGCAGUUAAGCGUGCUUGGACGAGAGUAGUACUAGGAUGGGUGACCUCCCGGAAAGUCCUCGUGUUGGAUCCCUCUUUUCUUUUUUCGGUUUUUGUCCUCUUUUUUUUGUUAAGAAUGUAUGACUCUAUUACUUUUAGACAGUGAGGCCAAACUUCGGAUGUGAUACCUUUUCGGAAAGCCCAAAAAGAGCUCUCUGAUGAAUAAGGAAGGAAAAUGGAAUUCUUCUAUUGGUUUUUUUUUCUACUCCAAAUUUUGACGUUAAUGUACUUUUUUGGGCCUUUUCGUGAUCUUUGCUAUAUACGGAGCGAAAAUUAUAUGUUCGGACAGUGUUUUCGAAUAUUUUGCAUGUAUCAAAGCUCUUAUAAACAAGAUAGGGUAUUCCUACAUAGCUGGUGGGACCCAUGGCAAAUGGAUCGUAAAGUCUUCAAAAAAGAAUAGAUACGAUUGCAUUGCAUGUAGUAGCGGAUGCGAUCAUACCAGCACUAACGCACCGGAUCCCAUCAAAACUGUGCAGUUAAGCGUGUUUGGGCGAGAGUAGUACUAGGAUGGGUGACCUCCCGGAAAGUCCUCGUGUUGGAUCCCUCUUUUCUUUUUUCGGUUUUUGUCCUCUUUUUUUUGUUAAGAAUGUAUGACUCUAUUACUUUUAGACAGUGAGGCCAAACUUCGGAUGUGAUACCUUUUCGGAAAGCCCAAAAAGAGCUCUCUGAUGAAUAAGGAAGGAAAAUGGAAUUCUUCUAUUGGUUUUUUUUUCUACUCCAAAUUUUGACGUUAAUGUACUUUUUUGGGCCUUUUCGUGAUCUUUGCUAUAUACGGAGCGAAAAUUAUAUGUUCGGACAGUGUUUUCGAAUAUUUUGCAUGUAUCAAAGCUCUUAUAAACAAGAUAGGGUAUUCCUACAUAGCUGGUGGGACCCAYGGCAAAUGGAUCGUAAAGUCUUCAAAAAAGAAUAGAUACGAUUGCAUUGCAUGUAGUARCRGAUGCGAUCAUACCAGCACUAACGCACCRGAUCCCAUCAAAACUGUGCAGUUAAGCGUGUUUGGGCGAGAGUAGUACUAGGAUGGGUGACCUCCCGGAAAGUCCUCGUGUUGGAUCCCUCUUUUCUUUUUUCGGUUUUUGUCCUCUUUUUUUUGUUAAGAAUGUAUGACUCUAUUACUUUUAGACAGUGAGGCCAAACUUCGGAUGUGAUACCUUUUCGGAAAGCCCAAAAAGAGCUCUCUGAUGAAUAAGGAAGGAAAAUGGAAUUCUUCUAUUGGUUUUUUUUUCUACUCCAAAUUUUGACGUUAAUGUACUUUUUUGGGCCUUUUCGUGAUCUUUGCUAUAUACGGAGCGAAAAUUAUAUGUUCGGACAGUGUUUUCGAAUAUUUUGCAUGUAUCAAAGCUCUUAUAAACAAGAUAGGGUAUUCCUACAUAGCUGGUGGGACCCAUGGCAAAUGGAUCGUAAAGUCUUCAAAAAAGAAUAGAUACGAUUGCAUUGCAUGUAGUAGCGGAUGCGAUCAUACCAGCACUAAUGCACCGGAUCCCAUUAAAACUCCGCAGUUAAGCGUGCUUGGGCGAUAAUAGUACUAGGAUGGGUGACCUCCCGGAAAGUCCUCGUGUUGAAUCCCUCUUUUCUUUUUCGGUUUUUCUCUUCUUUUUUUUGUUAAAAAUGUAUGACUCCAUAACUUUUAGAUAGUGAGGCAAAACUUCGCAUGUGAUACCAUUUCGGAAAUCCUAAAGAGAGCUCUCCGAUGAAUGAGGAAGGAAAAUGUAAUUCUUCUAUUGGGUUUUUAUUCUACUCCUAAUUUUGACCUUAAUGUACUUUUUCGGGCCUUUUCGUGAUAUUUGCUAUAUUACAGGGCGAAAAUUAUAUGAUCGGACAUUGUUUUCGAAUAUUUUGCAUGUAUCAAAGCUCUUAUAAACAAGAUAUGGUAUUCCUACAUGGCUGGUAUGACCCACAGCAAAUGGAUCUUAAUUCUAGACUUUUUGUAAUCCCGAUUUCUCUUUAUCUAUUCAGUAUUCAGUAUUCAGCUUUUGUUCUUGAUUUCGUUUACUGUUGUUCAUUCUGUUAUCAUCAUGUUGUUACACUGUUGUUAUCAUGUCUUCCACCUGUUCAACGUUUAUGCUUUCUGUUAUGAUGUCUGAGUAGUGAAUAGGUUUUUGAGGAUGGCUUAGAGUAGUGUAGGAUUCUCAGUAUGCUAGGUGAUUGAGUAUUGAUUGAUAGAUCCCUUCUGGAUUAGUUGUUCUUAAUGCCUAUUGCUUUCUGAUCAACUGGAAUUUGAGCCCAGACAUUUCCGUGCCCAAAAGGUGUUCGAUGAAAUGUUUGAACCACUAAUUCCAGAGAUUCGUGACCCUGUACCAAGGUAUUGGUUGCAAGGAGCGUUUUGGCUUUAACUUGUUGAUUCGUAAUGCCUGUUAGGUUAGCUCUCGUCAAUGGUGAUUGAGUCUGGGACUAGGUUAACUUGAGGGUCUCAGUUGCGGUGGCACUUAGAUUUGGUUAAUGAACUUGUUAUCUAAGGUUAAUUUACUGAGCAUGUCAAUCACCUGUAAACUGAGAAAACGAAACUACUCAAUUACCCCAUCCUCAGGAAUUCUUUAUCUGAUUGAAUUCUUUGUUUACUCUACUGUUGUUUACUGCAUCUUGUUAUCUGUUGCUUAAUUUCUUCAGUUCUUUCUUGUUACUCGACCUCAUACUCGACCACCUAGUUGUUUGGCAACAGACUGUACAGUCGAGUAUCUGUGUUUCAUUUUCUGUCUGUUACUCGACCUGUCACUUGACCUCACCCAGUGUUCUGCAAAGAGCUGUGUUGGUCGAGUGUUUUACUGUUUCUGUUUGAUUUUCUGUUUUCUGCAUGUUCACUUAGAACUGCUAGAACACACCAAAACCUGUUAUUGCUUGGCUUGACUUAGUGACUUCUGAUCACAUCUUGAUUGUUAGCAUCACACCCAUUUGGAUUGACAACCUAAAAUACUACAACGAUAUGAUUGGUGUUUUAGGAUAAUUGACUAAAAAACCUAUUAUCAAUUUGGCGCCGUUGCCAAUUGGGUGUUUGUUUGUUACAUUUGAGAUUUCAGACUUGCUUAGAUCAAGUUCUUUUUCAAUUUUCUUUUCGGUUACUAACUGUGUGUUUUUCUUGUUGUCUUCUUGAUCCAGGUACACCUCUGCUGUAUGCGAAUUCGAUCAACAGGCAAUCAGAACCUCCUUUUCGACGACAACAUCAACCGCAUAGCUCGCGAACUCAGAAAAAGGAGAACCACAGUCACCCCUGUAUCUCAGCAACCACUCGAAAUGGCUGAAGAACAGAAUCAACAAAAUGGCCCUGCCAACAUUGGUGCUGGAGAUGCACCACGUGAUCACCGCCAGAGGAAAGGAAUUGCACCUCCUGCGAUCCAGAACAACAACUUCGAGAUUAAGAGUGGUCUCAUCUCGAUGAUUCAGGGGAACAAAUUCCAUGGUCUGCCAAUGGAGGAUCCACUCGACCACCUUGAUGAAUUCGAUAGGCUCUGCAACCUAACAAAGAUCAAUGGUGUCAGUGAAGACGGAUUCAAGCUCCGUUUGUUCCCAUUCUCCUUGGGCGACAAAGCACACAUCUGGGAGAAGAAUCUGCCCCAUGACUCAAUCACCACCUAGGAUGAUUGCAAGAAGGCUUUUCUAUCAAAGUUCUUCUCCAAUGCCAGAACUGCAAGACUCAGAAAUGAGAUUUCUGGUUUCUCACAGAAGACUGGUGAAAGCUUCUGUGAAGCAUGGGAGCGUUUCAAGGGGUACACCAACCAAUGCCCUCAUCAUGGCUUUACUAAAGCCUCUCUGCUCAGCACUCUUUACAGAGGAGUCCUACCACGCAUCAGAAUGCUUCUGGAUACAGCUAGCAAUGGGAAUUUCCAGAACAAGGAUGUUGAAGAAGGCUGGGAAUUGGUUGAGAACCUCGCUCAAUCAGAUGGCAAUUACAACGUGGACUGUGAUACGUCAGAGGAACAGCUGAUUCUGAUGACAAACACAGGAAGGAGAUCAAAGCGCUGAAUGACAAGCUGGACAUGAUUCUUCUUAGCCAGCAGAAGCAUGUGCACUUCCUUGUUGAUGACGAGCAAUUUCAAGUCCAAGAUGGGGAGGGUAACCAGUUGGAAGAAGUCAGCUACAUAAAACAACCAGGGUGGCUACAAAAGAUACAACAACUAUCGCUUGAAACUCUUUCCAAGAAAACUUAAAUCCAGAUGUUCUGGCCCAUUCUGUAUCACUGAGGUCCGUCCUUAUGGAGCAGUCACUCUAGCUGGUAAGAGUAGAGAUUUUACAGUAAAUGUUCAAAGGCUCAAGAAAUACUUAGCAGACCAAAUCCUUCCAGAGGUGACAUCGGUUCAUCUCCAAGAACCUCUUGAUGAUUAAAGGAGUAAAGGAGUCAAGCUAAUGACUUUAAACAAGCUCACUUGGGAGGAAGUCCCAUGAUUAUCUCUGUAAAUAAAAAAUUUCUUGUCUUGUUAUUUUUGAUUUGUUUUAAUUGUGUUUGUGGUUUUCAGAGAAAAGGGAACAACGUGGAGAUAGAGUAAAAAUUCAAAACUUUUACUCUACAGAAGACCUGGAGAUUGAGUGUAUAACCUGGUGGAGUACAAAAUUUAUAAAGUUUUCUGCUGCGUCUGGAGACACGGAAUUCGAGUACAUCAGUCGAGUAUACGUGAUGUUUAAAAUCCAAAAUUUUAAAAAAACAUCAUUGUACUCGACCAACAGGAGCUACAGAGACUUGCAAGGAUUUCUUGCAGUUUACAGUAGAUCUUCUGCAUAUUUUUUCAGUCAACAGAGUGUGGACCACGCGCUGAGGAUAAGCUGGAGAGAGAAUCUAAAACUCAACCUAGACCACUCAUUUAAAAACAUCACUCGACUUCACAAAAUCCACUCGACCUACCUCUUUUCAUUUCACCACCGACACUCUAAUCUCUCUACACCACGAAUCGCCGUCCAAAGAGAUACUCGAUCCUGACAAUAUCACUCGGCCUCCGAGAGUUACUCGACAUCCGCGCCGCCGUCACCAGAUCAUAUCUUCCGUCACUCGACCUCCGGGAACCACUCGACCUCUGCGCUUCCGUAAUCGAGUACUCCUCCUCGUUCACCGUCGAAGUCUCCGUGACCACUUGAUUACGACCAAGCUACUAGACCACAAACUAUCACUCGACCUCGAGUAUUCACUCGACCUCUGCAGCAGCAACUCGACCUCUUGUUCUUGAAAGCAACAGAGCCCUGAAGAACUGUCAGAGUGUUUACUCGACCUCUAGGCUUCACCGGCUGAACUCAACCUCCACAACUUACUCGAUCUCCUGAAGCAUACCCACUCGAAUCCGGAGACGAUACUCGAUCCAAAUCGUCUAAAGGGAACUCAAGAACAGCUCAGUCUACUCGAGUACAGAAUUGUACUCGACCAAUAGGGUUUAUUUCAUUGCCUAUUGAUAACAAUUUUGGUUUCAUUGCUAUCUUUGAGACUAACCUAUUGACUUUGAGCUUUGAGUUCUAAAUUUUUACAGGAGAAUCAUGAGCAAUUACAGUGGCAGUUCUUCUGUUGAUCCUGACUACAACAUGGAUGAGACAGAGUCAACAUCUUCAAGGCCAGAGAGAGAACAAAGAGAAUAUGAAAGCUUCAGAAGGAAAGCUGAGAUAGCCCGAGGGAAGAGAGCGAUCACUGAGAGGUAUGAGCUUAUAGACGAAGAUCAGGAAGACGAGUACAUGCCUGAACAGACUCGUAGAGCUACCAAACUUCUGCACAAGCCCGACGUAUUGCCUGCUGAGGAAUAUGUUAGGCUUUUCAAGCUGAACGAGUUCUGUAGCACGAGGUAUCCUUACUCGACCUCACUUGCACAACUCGGAUUGUUGGAAGAUGUUCAACACCUGUACCAGAGUUGUCAUCUGGACACUCUGAUGGCUUAUCCGUAUGUAGCGUAUGAAGAUGAGACAAUACAAUUUCUUUCCACGCUGCAAGUAGAGCUCUACCAAGGUAUGACCUCUGAUGAGUUGGAUUGUGAAGGAUUGGGAUUCUUGCAAUUUUCUGUGUAUGGCCAUGAGUAUAGGUUAUCAAUCAAGCGCUUGGAAGGAUUGUUUGGCUUCCCCAGUGGAACGGGAUCUAAGCCCAAGUAUGACAGAGAAGAGUUGAAAGACUUGUGGAUCACCAUUUGCAGCUCUGUACCGCUGAAUGCUUCUAGGUCAAAGAGCAAUCAGAUACGCAGCCCUGUCAUCAGGUACUUCCAGCGUUCUAUAGCCAAUGUACUCUACUCCCGAGAGAUCACAGGGACUGUUACUAACUCUGAUAUGGAGAUGAUCGCAAUGGCCCUCAAGGGAACUCUUCGCCAAACGAAGAAUGGUAUGUCUCUCCAAGGUGAAAUCAAUGACACACCUCUCUCUGUACUUCUUCUGAUCCAUCUGUGUGGAUACAAGAGUUGGGCUGUCAGCAAUAACCGCAAGAGAGCACGAGGCGCUCUGUGCAUAGGUGGUGUUGUGACACCGAUUCUGAUAGCUUGUGGAGUCCCAAUCAUAUCUGCCGGACUCGAGCCGCGAGCAAUGGAUAUCGAGCACCUACGUCACUGCGAAUUCCUAGAGUUUGCAAUGGUUGACGACUUCCACAGGUUCAGGUUUGAGCACUCUACAGACAGGAGAGCUAACAUCCUUCUCCCUAGCCCUGAGGUUACACGGAUAAUAGAGGGAGAUAAUAUUGAUUUUUGGCCUGAGGUUGGACGCCUCUACUAUGAGAACGCUCCGCCAUUCAAUGAGGAGGAUCUUCUAGAAGAAGCUGUUUCGGAUGGGAUGGAUGACGAUUGCGCAGUGGAGUUCGACACUAGCAUGUAUCACUUUGGUGAAGAUGUACCUCCAGCGAGGCAGAGCAAGAGCUUGACCGAAGCUCAUAAGAACAAAAGUAAAUUGCAGAAGUGGUGCAAGAAGCAGGACAAGUUGCUCGCCAAGUGUUUCAAGGCUAUCAAGCUUCUGACAGAUAAGCUGAGUUGUUCCUCCUCCACCACAGCUAUUCCACAGGUAUUGCCUCCUCUGGAGAUGCCAUCGAGGAGAUUUGAUAAGCCUGCGCACAAGCCUGAGCUUAGCGAGCAGAGAGUCUCUCAUGCCCCGGUUAGGCAUUUGUCAUUCGAGUCCCGGGAGCACAAGAGAAGAAGGAAGGCUACACUCACUUGAUCUAGGAGCAGAUCACACCUCAUUCACUCGAGGAGAUCACUUGACCGCGGUGCCGGCCGUAGCAGAAGGAGAGAGGUCGAGUAUCCUCAGAGCGGUGCUGGCCGCCACAGAGCUAAUGAGGUCGAGUACCCACCUGCUGGAGCUGAUACAGAACAAGGUGGUUCGUCUAUGGCCUGGGAGCAAUCACAGGCAGCCAUUGACGAGCAACUACGUUCAUUCUUCGAUUGAGGUACGCGCCUCACUUCACCAUUGUAUUAUAUCAUCUGUUGUGAUUUGUUUCUUCAUUUCGUUUCUGUGAUUGGAUUUGUCCUGAGUACUCUCUUCCAAGUUUAUUCGCAUAGUGGACUGUGUGAUUUAAGUUUGGGGGAGGGCUCAGGAAGUGUGUGUUAUAUUUUUGAGUCUGCAUUCAUCUAAGGGAUAGAAAAACCAAAAAAAAUUGAAAAAUUUUAGAAAAUGAUUUGACAAAAAAAGAGUGUUCAUGUAGUUGCAUUACAUUUAGGAUCGAGUCUAGAGUGUUUCAUUUAGGAUUGUUGCAUAUGCAUAGGGGAUGAUGAUGAGAUAGCCUUGUAAGCAUUUUGAUUCACAGGAUAAACUCAGUGCCCUCGUUGCUAGUUGUCUGUUGCGUAGUCAAUGAAUUUGAAAUAAAACUGAACCAUGCCUAGAUUGCUCUAUUCGACCACACUAUCAUGAUCUGAUACCAUUCCCUAUCAAUUUGAACCUGAAUCUGAUCUUUAAUUAUCAUGUCUGCAUCAAAUUUGAACUCAUGGAUACCCUAAAAUACUUGGAUUUUCUUAUUCAUUUUGAUCACUCUUGUUAAUCCAAGUAGCUGACUCUCCUUAUUAGAGCAGUUAACCCAAACCCAAACCUAGACUUUCUUUCAAGCCCUAUAUCACUUGUGAGUGUUUGUGAGGUCUUAUUCCGAUUAAGCUUGGUAGAAAGUGUUAGGUUCGUAACGACAGAGAUAGUGUCUCAUGUAGUUCUAGUUCGCAUUUUUUGGACUAGAUAGGACUAGGUGGGCGCUUAUACUUUGGGUUGGGAUGUGUUUAAAAGAAAAAAAAAAGGUUGAUUUAUUGAUAAGAAAAGGUAAAAGACUCUAGGUGAAGUAAGCUAAAGAAGCAGAAAAAGUCUACUAAAGGUUUUGGGAUUUGUAAAGAAAAGAAAGAGUUCUUGUUAGCUAUUGAAGAUGGGCAAAAGCCCUUGGUUUUAAAAUGUUAAAAACAGGAACCUUAGUUGUUAAAGAAAUCCAAAUCCGCUAGAUGUAUCAAAGUGUUGAGAAAGCUUCUCCUAGAGUUAAGAGAAAAGAAAAGAAUGAUUAGAAAAAGGGCUUAAAAGAUUCAUGAAUGCAAAGGGUAGAGUUUAGUUCUUGUAUUGGGAUUGGAGAUGGGAUUACCAUUAGAGCUUCAUUUGAUGUACUCUGGGUAGAUGGGAUCUUAUCUCUGUAUGCAUAGCUUGGGACUUACCUUUAGCAUUCUACUAAAGCUUAAUCAUUUUUUGAGAGAUCCCCUGUUAUUGAAGCCUAUUCUGUAAGGGACCAUCUUUGUCUCUUGACCUUUUACCUUAGCCAAAUGAGUUCUUUGAUGAUGCAUUGCUUGAUUCACGUUCCAGAACUAAUGAAUGUUAAAGGGAUUGGUAGAUUUGAAAACUUGUGUAGGUCGAGCAUAUGAGUCGGAUUGAUUGAUUGAUGAGGCAUAACUAACUUUUUUAAGUAGAAUUCGAUCUUGCAGCUUAGAACUUUCAACUUGGACAUUGAUUUCAUCUGGUCUAUCUGGUGCUUUGGCUCUGAGUCCCCGCUUUCAAACCUCACCUCCAGCUUGUUCUUGAUUGUUUGCUUGAGGCAAGCAAAGACUAAGUUUGGGGGAGUUGAUAAGUUUGUAUUUUGCAUGUUUUGAGCAUCCAUUUGUCAUCAUUUUAGCAUCAUAUCAUCACUGUUUUAUACCAUUUCACAUCAUUUGUCAUCACUUUGCAUGUUUAGGAUAGUUUUGCAUGCAUGUUGCAUAUUUGUGUUGUUUUCAGGUGAUUUGGAGCUGUCGACGAUCUAACUGGAAGAAGCGGACCUGAUCAUGACAAACCACUCGACCAAGAGGUCGAGUAGGAGCUUCAAGAUCUCAAGAGACCACUCGACCCCCAGGUCGAGUAGAAGACACCACCACUCUAUCACAUCACUCGACCCCCAGGUCGAGUGUCUUCAUCUCCAUCUCUUGACCACCACUCGAUCACAUCACUCGACCCCCAGAUGUAGUGACUUCAUCCCAUUGCUAGACCUCUACUCGACCUCAUCACUCUACAUGGAAGUCGAGUAUCACCAUCACACCACUCGAUUGCAUACUCGAUGACAAGCUUCAGAGCCUUCUUCAUUCCGCACUCAACCAGACACUCGAGCACAAGAAAGAAAAGAAGACUCCAGCUAUUCACUCGACCUCCCACUCGACCACAUGGGUCGAGUACAGUUCUUAAUCCGUCCCAAUACUUUGUCGUUUUGAGUAUUAGGGUUUCGGAAUAUUUGGCUAUAAGUAGCAUGUACUUCUCAUUUUCGCAGACAAGAAAUUUUUAUCUAGUUUUAUUCUGCAGACCUUGUGUUCUAGACUUUUUGUAAUCCGGAUUUCUCUUUAUCUAUUCAGUGUUCAGUAUUCAGCUUUUGUUCUUGAUUUCGUUUACUGUUGUUCAUUCUGUUAUCAUCCUACUGUUACACUGUUGUUGUCAUGUCUUCAACCUGUUCAACGUUUCUGCUUUCUAUUAUGAUGUCUGAGUAGUGAAUAGGUUUCUGAGGAUGGGUUAGAGUAGUGUAGAAUUCUCAGUAUGCUAGGUGAUUGAGUAUUGGUUGAUAGAUCCCUUCUGGAUUAGUUGUUCUUAAUGCCUAUUGCUUUCUGAUCAACUAGAAUUUGAGCCCAGACAUUUCCGCGCCCAAAAGGUGUUCGAUGAAAUGUCUGAACCACUAAUUCAAGAGAUUCGUGACCCAGUACCAAGGUAUUGGUUGCAGGGAGCGUUUUGGCUUUAACUUGUUGAUUCGUAAUGCCUGUUAGGUUAGCUCUCGUCAAUGGUGAUUGAAUCUGGAACUAGGUUAACUUGAGGGUCUCUGUUGCGGUGGCACUUAGAUUUGGUUAAUGAACUUGUUGUCUAGGGUUAAUUUACUGAGCAUGUCAAUCACCUGUAAACUGAGAAAACGAAACUACUCAAUUUCCCCAUCCUCGGGAAUUCUUUAUCUGAUUGAAUUCUUUGUUUACUAUAUUGUUGUUUACUGCAUCUUGUUAUCUGUUGCUUAAUUUCUGCAGUUCUUUCUUGUUACUCGACCUCAUACUCGACCACCUAGUUGUAUGGCAACAGACUGUGCAGUCGAGUAUCUGUGUUUCAUUUUUUGUCUGUUACUCGACCUCACCCAGUGCUCUGCAAAGAGCUGUGUUGGUCGAGUGUUUUUUACUGUUUCUGUUUCAUUUUCUGUUUUCUGCAUAUUCACUUAGGACUGCUAGAACACACCAAAACCUGUUAUUGCUUGGCUUGACUUAGUGACUUCUGAUCACAUCUUGAUUGUUAGCAUCACACCCAUUUGGAUUGACAACCUUCAGUACUACAACGAUAUGAUUGGUGUUUUAGGAUAAUUGACUAAAAAAACUAUUAUCAAUGCCCUUUGUGCUGACUAAUGCACCAGCCACCUUCCAAUCAGUGAUGAAUGAGCUGUUUAGACCAUAUAUGCGCCGGUUUGUUUUAGUGUUCUUUGACGACAUUCUGGUAUACAAUCUUGAUGUAGAGACACAUCUCAAACACUUAGAGGUUUUUCUUCAGAUUCGGUUACAGAACAGGUUCUACGCCAAUGAGAAGAAAUGCCACUUUGGUUGCACAAGGAUAUCAUAUUUGGGCCAUAUGAUCACUAGCGAAGGAGAUUCUACAGAUCCCACAAAGAUAGAAGCUAUGGUAAAGUGGCCACAGCCCAAGAAUAUAACAGAGCUGCGCGGGUUUUUAGGCCUUACUGGUUACUACAGAAGGUUUGUGGCAGGUUAUGGGAAGAUAGCAAAGCCACUGACAGAAUUACUCAAGAAAGGGAAAUUUGAAUGGUCUGUUGAAGGUACAAGUACUUUUGAGGCUUUAAAAGAGGCGGUUAUCUGUCUUCCAACGUUAGCAUUACCAGAUUUUGAGAAGCCAUUUGUGAUAGAGACUGAUGCUUUAGGCACGGGUAUAGGAGCAGUUCUAUCUCAGGAUAAGCGUCCCAUUGCGUUCAUUAGCCAAGGAUUCUCCAGUAAAGGCAGAGUUAAAUCAAUAUAUGAGAGGAAACUUUUGGCGAUUGUUUUUGUAGUGGAUAAGUGGAAGCACUACCUCACGGGAGAAAAGUCAUUAUCAGGACUGAUUAGAGAAGCCUGAAACACUUACUCAACCAGAAGGCAGUGUCAGCCAUACAACAAAGGUGGGCUUCGAAAUUAGUUAGCCUGGACUAUGAGAUUGAGUAUAAGCAUGACUCAGAAAAUAGAGUAGCAGACGCGCUAUCUAGACGUCCAGUAACCGAGCAAAUAAUGAACAUGCUGUUUCUAGCUUCGGCGACAGUGAACAAGGAAGAACUGUAGGCACAGGUACAAAAUGAUCCCAGCCUCAAACUCAUACAGGAACAACUGCUUAGAGGAGAGGAAGGGGAGAAAGGAUACAGUCUGGUAGCUAACACCUUAUAUAAGGAUGGCAGAAUUGUUAUGCCAGAAAGCUCUCCUUUUAUCCCAAAAUUGCUGGAACAGUUUCAUACUAGUCCCAUUGGAGGACAUGAAGGAGCGUUUAAGACAUUUAAAAGGUUAUCUAGUGAAGUUUACUGGAAAGGCAUGCGCAAGGACGUGGUGGAGUUCCUCAAGGGUUGUCAAGUUUGUCAACAAAACAAGUAUUCUACAUUGUCUCCAGCCGGCCUCUUGCAACCAUUACCCAUUCCGACUAAGGUAUGGUCCAAUAUCAGCCUUGAUUUCAUUGAAGGGCUUCCAGUUUCAAGUGGAUAUGAUGCGGUACUCGUCGUGGUAGAUCGGCUCAGCAAGUAUGGUCAUUUUAUUCCCCUUAAGCAUCCUUACACAGCUAAAUCAGUAGUAGAAGUGUUUAUUAAAGAGAUUGUUAGACUUCAUGGAUUUCUAGAGAGUAUGGUUUCAGAUCGGGACAAGAUUUUUGUCAGUCACUUUUGGUCUGCUCUUUUCAAGUCCCAAGGAACACAUCUGGCUAAGAGCACAGCAUACCACCCACAGUCGGAUGGCCAAACCGAGGUCCUAAACAGAUGCUUAGAGACUUACCUUCGCUGUUUUGUUAAUGGAAAGCCAAAAUCUUGGGCUCAAUUGUUUUCCUGGGCAGAAUACUGGUCUAACACUUCGUUUCAUUCUGCCAUCAAGAUGACUCCAUUUCAGGCCUUGUACGGAAGAGAACCACCGAAACUGUUACGAUUUGGUGACAUCCCAAAAGCUAACGCGGUGGUAGAGGAGAUGCUACAAGAAAGGGACAGAGUGGUCACGAUGCUGAGAGAAAAUCUGCAGGCAGCUCAAGCCCGAAUGCAAAAAUCAGCUAACAAGCAUAGAAGGGAGCUGGAAUUCAUAGUUGGCGAUUGGGUUUAUCUAAAGUUAAGACCUUACAGGCAGGUAACCGUGGCACAGCGUCGCAAUGAGAAGCUAUCUCCCAGAUUUUUUGGUCCUUAUCAGAUUCUUCAAAAAAUAGGUGCAGUAGCCUACAAACUUCAGUUACCAAGCAGCAUCUCCAUACACCCGGUCUUCCAUAUAUCACAGCUGAAGCAUGCGCAACCAAGUUCAGCCCAAGCUCAACCUCUCCCAGCGAUUAUGACUUCUAACUUGGAGUGGGAACCUGAACCUGAAGAUGUACUAGAGAUAAGGGAAAGCAGCACGGGCGCAGAUACUGAGUUAUUGAUUAAAUGGAGAGGUCUGCCAGAGUGUGAGAAUACAUGGGAGCCAAUGAAAGUCAUCAGGCAGCAGUUCCCAGCAUUUCACCUUGAGGACAAGGUGGCUUCGUUACGGGGGAGUAAUGAUAAGGUGGAGACUAUGGAAGGAGAAGCAAGGAAAGGAGAUAGAGCAACAAGGAAGAGGAUUCAAAGAAGAUCUUUGACCCAAGUGGCUAAAGAGAGUUUAAGAAAGUGCAAGGAAACACUCUGUCGCAUCCAGAGGCUUUGAAGUGUCAAAGAAAUAAGUAUGCUAUAGUUCAUAUUAACUGUAUGUUGUUUAAGUAAGAGUCUGAGAGAGUGUGUGUAGUUUUCCAUAGGGAAACUACUAUAAAUGUUGAACUCUACUUUAGGGUUAAGGUAUCAAAGUAUUAAUCAAACUUCCUAUUAUUACUCUCCUCUAUCCUUUAUCCACUCUAUCUUCUUCUUCUUCUUCAUCCGAUUCUAUCUCUUUCUGUUCUUAAUCUUCUUGAUAGGUUCACCACUUAUCACUCGACUUCCUUGUAGAGUGGUGUGAUCGAGUGAUGGUCAAGUGUGGAGGUGAUGAUACUCGACCAGGUGGUAGAGUGAUCGAGUGAAGGUGAUGAAGGUAGUCGACCAUGUGGUAGAGUAGUGUGAUCGAGUGAUGGUCAGGUGGUGGAGGUUAUGAGACUCGACCAGGGGGUCGAGUGGUGAGGUGAAGUGGUGAAGUCCUCUACUCGACCAGGGGGUCGAGUGGUCUGUUGAGGUCGUGAAGCAUCUACUCGACCUGGGGGUCGAGUGGUUUGACAUGAUCAGGAACGCUUCUUCCAAUUAGCUCGUCAACAGCUCCAAAUCACCUGAAAACAACACAAAUAUGCAACAUGCAUGCAAAACUAUCCUAAACAUGCAAAGUGAUGACAAAUGAUAUAAAACAAUGAUGAUAUGAUGAUAAAGUGAUGACAAAUGGAUGCUCAAAACAGGCAAAAUGCACACUUAUCAACUCCCCCAAACUUAGUCUUUGCUUGCCCUCAAGCAAACAAUUAAGAACAAGUAGGAGGUGAGAGUUGAAGGCGGGGACUUUGAGCCAAAGCACCAGAUAAAUCAGAUGAAAUCAAUGUCCAAGUUGAUAGUUCUAAGCUGCGAUAUGAUUGAAUUCUACUCAAAAACGUUAGCUAUGCCUUGUUAUCAAUCAAUCCGACUCUUAUGCUCAGCCUACACAUGUUUUCAAAUCUACCAAUCCCUUUAACAUUCAUUAGUUAUGGAACGUGAAUCAAGCAAUGCAUCUAUCAAUGAACUCAUUUGGCUAAGGUAAAGGUCAAGUGACAAAGAUGGCCCCUUACAGAAUAGGCUUCAGCAAAAGGGGAUCUCUCAAAAAAUGAUUAAGCUUUAGUAGAAUGCUAAAGGUAAGUCCCAAGCUAUGCAUACAGAGAUAAGAUCCCAUCUACCAAGAGUAUAACCAAUGAAGCUCUAAUGGUAAUCCCAUCUCCAAUCCCAAUAUAAGAACUUAACUCUACCCUUUGCAUUCAUGAAUCUUUUAACCCCUUUUUCUAAUCAUUCUUUUCUUUUCUCUUAACUCUAGGAGAAGCUUUCUCAACACUCUGAUACAUCUAGCGGAUUUGUAUUUCUUUAACAACUAAGGAUCCUCUUUUCAAUUUUUAAAACCGAGGACUUUUGCCCUUCUUCAUUAGCUGACAAGAACCCUUUUCUUUUCUUUACAAAUCCCAAAACCUUUACUAGACUUUUUCUACUUCUUUAGCUUACUUCACCUAGAGCCUUUUACCUUUUCUCAUCAAUGAAUCAACUCUUUUGUUUUUUCUUUUUCUUUUAGACACAUCCCAACCCAAAGUAUAAGCACCCACCUAGUCCUAUCUAGUCCGAAAAAUGCGAACUAGAACUACAUGAGACAUUAUCUCUGUCGUUACAAACCUAACACUUUCUACCAAGCUUAAUCGAAAUAAGACCUCAGAAACACUCACAAGUGAUAUAAGGCUUGAAAGAAAGUCUAGAUUUUGGUUCGGGUUAACUGCUCUAAUAAGGAGAGUCAACUACUUGGAUUAACAAGAGUGAUCAAAAUGAAUAAGAAAAUCCAAGUAUUUUAGGGUAUCCAUGAGUUCAAAUUUGAUGCAGACAUGAUAAUUAAAGAUCAGAUUCAGGUUCAAAUUGAUAGGGAAUGGUAUCAGAUCAUGACAGUGUGGUCGAGUAGAGGAAUCUAGGCAUGGUUCGGUUUUACUUCAAUUUCAUUGACUACGCAAAAGACAACUAGCAACGAGGGCACUGAGUUUAUCCAGUGAACCAAAAUGCUUACAAGGCUAUCUCAUCAUUAUUCCCUAUGCAUAUGCAACAAUCCUAAAUGAAACACUCUAUACUCGAUCCUAAAUGUAAUGCAACUACAUGAACACUCUUUUUUUUUGUGAAAUCAUUUUCUGAAAUUUUUCAAUUUUUUUUUGGUUUUUUUAUGCCUUAGAUGAAUGCAGACUCAAGAGUAUAAACAAUGCAACACACACUUCAUGAGCACUCCCCCAAACUAAUCUUGGAAGAGAGUAACUCAGGACAAAUCCAAUCACAGAAACAAAAUAAAGAACAAAUCACAAAAGAUGAUAUAAUACAAUGGUGAAGUGAGGCGCUUACCUCAAUCAAAGAAUGAACGAAGUUGGUCGUCAAUGGCUGCCUGUGAUUGCUCCCAAGCCAUAGACGAGCCACCCUGUUCUGUAUCAGCUCCAGCAGGUGGGUACUCGACCUCAUCAGCUCUGUGGAUACUCGACCUCUCUUCCUCUGCUGCGGCCAGCACCGUGGUCGAGUGAUCUCCUCGAGUGAAUUAGGCAUGAUCUACUGCUAGAGCGAACGAGUGUAGCCUUCCUUCUUCACUUGUGCUCCCGGGACUCGAAUGACGAAUGCCUAGCAGGGACAUGUGAGACUCUCUGCUCACUAAGCUCAGGUCUGUGCUCAGGCUCAUCAAAUCUCCUCAAUGGCAUAUCUAGAGGAGGCUGUCCCUGUGGAAUAGCUGUAGUAGAAGAGGAACAGCUCAGUUAAUCUAUCAGAAACUUGAUAGUCUUAAAGCACUUGGCGAGCCGCUUGUCCUGCUUCUUGCAACACUUCUGCAGCUUAUUGUUGUUCCUAUGAGCUUCACUCAAGCUCUUGCUCUCCCUCGCCAGAGGUACAUGUUCAUCAAAAUGAUACAUGCUAGUGUCGAACUCCACUGCUCUGUCUUCAUCCAUCCCAUCCUAAGCAGCUUCUUCUAUAAGAUCAUCCUCAUCCAAUGGCGGAGCGUUCUCAUAGUAGAGGUUUCCAAGCUCAGGCCGAAAAUCAAUGUUAUCUCCCUCUAUUAUCCGUGUAACCUUAGGGCUGGGGAGAAGGAUGCUAGCUCUCUUAUCCGUAGAGUGCUUAAACCUAAAACAGUGCAUGUCGCCAACCAUUCCGAACUUCAGGACGUAGGAUGCUAACUCCAGGACUUCGCAGUGACGUAGAUGCUUGAUAUCAAUUGCCCGUGGCUCGAGUCCAUCAGAUGUGAUUGGGACUCCACAAGCAAUCAGAAUCGGUGUCACAACACCGACUAUGCAAAGAGCGCCUCGUGCUCUCUUGUGAUUAUUGCUGACAGCCCAGCUCUUGUAUCCACACAGGUGGAUUAGAAGAAGUACAGAGAAAGGUGUGUCAUUGAUUUCACAGAUAUGUUGUUCUUAGUUUGGUAGAGAGUGCCUUUGAGAGCAUAUAGCGAUCAUCUCCAUAUCAGAAUUGGUAACAGUCCCUGUGAUCUCUCUGGAGUAGAGGACAUUGGCUAUAGAACGCUGGAAGUACCUGAUGACAGGGCUGCGUAUCUGAUUGCUCUUUAACCUGGAAGAAUUUAGCGGUACAGAGCUGCCAAUGGUGAUCCAUAAGUCUUUCAACUCUUCUCUGUCAUACUUGGGCUUAGUACCCGUUCCACUGGGGAAACCAAAAAGUCCUUCCAAGCGUUUGAUUGAUAACCUAUACUCAUGACCAUACACAGAGAAUCUCAAGAAUCCCAAUCCUUCGCAAUCCAACUCAUCAGAGGUCAUACCUUGGUAAAGCUCCACUUGCCGUGUGGAGAGGAAUUGAAUUGUCUCUUCUUCAUAUGCUACAUACGGAUAAGCCAUCAGAGUGUCCACAUGACUACUCUGGUACAGGUGUUGAACAUCUUCCAACAAUCCAAGUUAUGCAAGUGUGGUCGAGCAUGGAUACCUUGUGCUACAGAACUCAUUUAGUUUGAAGAGUCUGAUAUACUCCUCAGCAGGUAAUACAUCUGGUUUGUGAAGAAGCUUUGUGGCUCUACUAGUAUGCUCAAGCAUGUACUCGUCUUCUAGAUCCUCAUCUAUAAGCUCGUACCUCUCUGUCAUUGCUCUCUUCCCUCGAGCUAUCUCAGCUUUUCUUCUGAAGCUAUCAAAUUCUAUCUUUUCUCUCUCUGGCCUUGAAGAUGACGACUAUGUCUCAUCCAUGUUGUAGUCAGGAUCAACUGAAGAAUUGCCACUGUAAUUACUCAUGAUUCUCUUGUAGAAGAUUUAGAACUCAAAACUCCAAUAUCAAUAGGAUAGUCUCAAAGAGAACAAUCAAACCAAAAUUGUUAACAACAGACAAUAUAGACCCAAACGGUCAAGUACAAUCAAAUACUCAAGUAAGCUUAACUUUUUCCAAGUUUCUCUUUCACGGGUUGAAUCGAGUGGCUCAGAUAUAAGAGGUCGAGUAAUGUUGAGGAAGUAGUGUGCAGAUGGUGAAUCAGGUUGGUCGAGUAUACCAUAGGUGAGCCAAAAUUGGCAGGGACGAAACCUCAAAUCGACGAUCGAGUACAGUGGAUGUAAUCGAGUAGCUCUUGAGACGACGACGGUAAACGAGGUGGAGACUCGACUUAGACGGGAAGUGACGGUUAACGGCGAAGUGAAGUGGUUGAGUGAUUCAAGGUGAAACGUAAUCGGUGGUCGAGUGGGACUUUGAACUCGACUGCGGCGGCUGUAAUUCUUUCCAGCUGCGGUCGAGUGGUUUCGGCGAGGUCGAGCGUGGCUUGGUUUCAGAGGUCAAGUUGAUUCUUGCGAUCGAGUGGUGGAAAACUGAAUAGAGGUUGGUCGAGUGAAAUUUCAAAAGCAGUGGUGGAGAUUGAGUUUGAGAUUCUCUCUCCAUCUUAUCCUCAGCGCGUGGUCCACACUCUGUUGAUUGGGAAAACUGCAGGAAAUCUACAGUAAACUUGAUUAACUCCCUGUAAGGCUCUGUAGCUUCUGUUGGUCGAGUAAUAUGAUGAUUUAAAAUUUUUUGGUUUUAAACAUCACUCAUACUCGACCAAUGUACUCGAGUGCAAGGUCUCCAUGUGCAACAGAAAAUUUACAAAAUUUUGCACUCCAACGGGCUAUACACUCGAUCUCCAGGUCUUUUGUAAAGUAAAAGUUUUGAAUUUUUACUCUAUCUCCACCUUGUUCCUUUGUUCCUGAGAACCACAAACACAACUAAGACAAAUCAAAAAUAACAACAAAAGAAAAAUUUAUUUACAGAGAUAGUCAUGGGACCUUCCUCCCAAGUGAGCUUGUUUAAAGUCUCUAGCUUGACUGCUCACACUUAUCAAGAAGAAAAUGAAUGAUAGAGAGGGUCUGCAUAGUCCUCUCGGAUAUCAUCAUCAUACUCAGCGUCCUCCCUGGAGAGGUCUGCAGCAGAACACUCAAUUCCCCUUUCUUCAAAACAGGCUUCUUUCUCUUCUAGAGGGUAAUCUAUCUCUUCAGACCAUCUUGAAGUGAACCUUUUUCUCGGGAUAAUGUCAAUUCCGCCUUUAGGUUGAGCUUUCUUCUGCAUCUGAUUCAGCUUACUCUUAAGCUCCUCAAUAGUGUGGGCUAGCUUCCCUAUAGUUUCAUCUUGCUUAUCAGACCUCUUUUUAAGCUCCCUUACUUUUUCAGUCUCAUACGCUUCUCUUGGGAUCACUCUAUCGUCUCCAGAGGGUUUUUCAUAUUCUUUUGACUCUUCUGGAGUUUUGUUGAUGUCAAAUUGCAACUUGAUGUGCUUUCCAAGGUUGAGACUUAUUUUUUCUUCCCUGACAUCUAUCACUGCUCCCACUGAGGCUAAGAAGGGUCUUCCCAGGAUUAAGGGAUCCUUAUGCUCUUCUUCCAUAUCCAGCACCACGAAGUUUGUAGGCACUUCCACUCCAUUAAUCAUGACUGGUAGAUCUUUCAACAUGUCGGAGGGUUUUCUUGAAGACCUAUCUGCAAGGAUCAAAGUCAGGUCACAAGGCCUGUACUAAAUAAAUUCCAACCUUCUUGCCACAGAGAGUGACAUUAAGGUGACAGAGGCUCCGAGAUCGCACAGGCAAUCGCUGAAAGCUAAUUCCCCAAUUGAACAUGGUAGAGUAGAAUAUCCAGGAUCUUCUAACUUUUCUUGAACAAUCCUCUUAUCAGCAACUCGAGAUGGAGUAGCGUCACUAUCAUCAUCUGAAUCGUGAUACAUCUUAAUCCUUUCCAGUAUCAGAUUUCUCACAUCUUUGUGAGGAUCAGGAAUCAGGUUGAGAACUUCCAUCAGUGGCAUCACUGUUUCAUUCUCGUCUAGCUGUUUCGCUGCAACAGACUUGUAUCUCUCCAUCCAUGCUUUCCUGAAUUUCAUGGAAGAGCAUGUGAGGGUAAUGGAGUAGGUUUGAAUCGUUUUACCAUUCUCUCGAUUAUGGCUGCUUUCUCUUCCGAGGUGGAUUAAAUGAGAUGGUGAGAACCAGCAGAAUGGUUGAAUUCUACAACAGAGACCUCAAUCUUGGUUGAAGGCUCCCCUUCUUGAACAUCACUGUCCCCAGUGAUUAAGUCAGGGACAGGUCGAGUUGGCUGCUCUCGAUCCUGGCAGAUAGUGAUGGCGUGAGCAGUUGCAUACUCCUUUGGAUUUUGUAUUGACUUCCCAGGAAGUCCUGUAACUUUAGGACCAGAGGUAGAUGUUGAUUGUCCUUCCAAGUAUCUGACUUUGGUAUUCAAUGUCUCCACUUUGGCAUUCAGGUCAUUGUAGCUAUAGUCCAGCUUAUGGUGCAAUUCAAAUAACUUCUUAGCAAUUUUCAUGGAGCUAGAUGCUUGUCCCUGUAGCAGCUGUUGUACCAUCUGUUUCAUUUCGGGAUCAGGAGCUGCAAGACCUUGGUUUUGCUGAGGUGCAAACCCAGGUGGUGGUUGCGGCUGGUAGUUCCCCUGAAAUUGUUGGGAACAAAUCCUUGAUUGUAAGGAACAAAAGGUUUGUUCUGACCUUGUUGUUGAUGUGGAGGAUACACCUGAUCCUGAGGAUUCGCAACGUUGGUGCUCCGGUAGGAGAGGUUGGGGUUGUUGGUUUUGAAGUUGUUAUACCCUUUGUAGCCACCCUGGUUGUUGUUGAUGUAGCUGACCUCUUCCAACUGGUUACCCUCCCCAUCUUGGACUUGAUACUGCUCGUCAUCAACAAGGAAGUGCACAUGCUUCUACUGGCUAAGAAGAAUCCUUUCCAGCUUGUCGUUCAGCGCUUUGAUCUCCUUCUUGUGUUUGUCAUCAGAGUCAGCUGUGCUUCUGAUGGUCCUAUCGUAGUCCUCAUUGUAAUUACCAUCUAAUUGAGCUAGGUUCUCAACCAAUUCCCAGCCUUCUUCAACAUCCUUGUUCUGGAAAUUCCCAUUGUUGGCGGUAUCCAGAAGCAUUCUGAUGCGUGGUAAAACGCCUAUCUAUGGAGUGCUUAGCAGAGAGGCUUUCGUGAAGCAAUGAUGAGGGCAUUGGUUGAUGUAACCUCUGAAACGCUCCCAUGCUUCAUAGAAGCUUUCACCCGUCUUCUGUGAAAAAUCAGAAAUCUUAUUUCUGAGUUUUGCAGUUCUGGCGUUGGAGAAGAACUUUGAUAGAAAGUCCUGUGGAGUAAACAAUAAAAUCAAUCAGAUAAAGAAUUCCCGAGGAUGGGGUAAUUGAGUAGUUUCGUUUCCUCAGUUAACAGGUGACUGACAUGCUCAAUAAAUUAUCCCUAGACAACAAGUUCAUUAACCAAAUCUAAGUGCCACCGCAACAAAGACCCUCAAGUUAACCUAGUCCCAGACUCAAUCACCAUUGACGAGAGCUAACCUAACAGGCAUUACGAAUCAACAAGUUAAAGCCAAAACGCUCCCUACAACCAAUACCUUGGUACAGAGCCACAAAUCUCUGGAAUUAGUGGUUCAGACAUUUCAUCGAACACCUUUUGGGCGCAGAAAUGUCUGGGCUCAAAUUCUAGUUGAUUAGAAAGCAAUAGGGAUUAAGAACAACUAAUCCAGAAGGGAUCUAUCAAUCAAUACUCAACCACCUAGCAAACUGAGAAUUCUACACUACUCUAAUCCAUCCUCAGAAACCUAUUCACUACUCAGACAUCAUUAUAGAGAACAUAAACGUUGAACAGGAUGAAAACAUGAUAACAAUAAUAUAAUAGCAAAACGAUAACAGGAUGAACAACAAUAAACGAAAUCAAGAACAAAUACUGAAUACUGAGUAGAUAAAGAGAAAUCCGGAUUACAAAAGGUCUAGAACACAGUGUCUGCGGAAUAAAACUAGAUAAAAACCUCUUCUCGAAAAUGUAAAGUACAUGCUUAUUAUAGCAAAAUAUUCUGAAACUCUAAUACUCAAAAUGACGCAGUAUUGGGACGGAUUAAGAACUGUACUCGACCCUGAUGGUCGAGUGAGAGGUCGAGUGAUAUGCUGGAGUCUUCUAUUCUUCCUUGUGCUCGAGUGUCUAGUUGAGUGCAGAAAUGAAGAAGACUCUGAAGCUCGCCAUAGAGUAUGUAGUCGAGUGGUGGUGGUGAAGACACUCGACCUGGGGGUCGAGUGAUGUGAUCGAGUGACUGGUCAGGUUGUGGAGGUGAAUACACUCGACCAGGUGGUCGAGUGAGGUGAUCAAGUAUCUCUCGUGGUGGUACUCGGCCAGGGGGUCGAGUGAUGAGAUGAAAUUGUGAAGUCCCCUACUCAGCCAGGGGGUCGAGUGGUCUGUUGAGGUCUUGAAGCUUCUACUCGACCUCGGGGUCUAGUGGUUUGACAUGAUCAGGUCCGCUUCUUCCAGUUAGCUCGUCAACAGCUCCAAAUCACCUGAAAUCAACACAAAUAUGCAACAUGCAUGCAAACCUAUCCUAAACAUGCAAAGUGAUGACAAAUGAUGAGAAAUGGUAUUAUACAGUGAUGAUAUGGUGCUUAAGUGAUGACAAAUGGAUGCUCAAAACAUGCAAAAUACACACUUAUUAACUCCCUAAUAAUAUGUUUUUAGUCAAUUAUCCUUAAACACCAAUCAUGUCUUUGUAGUAUUUUAGGUGUCAAUCCAAAUGGGUGUGAUGCAAACAGAUGAGAUGUGAUCAGAAGUCACUAAGUCAAGCCAAGCAAUAACAGUAUUGGGGUUUCUUACAGUCCUAAGUGAACAUGCAGAAAACAGAAACAAUAAUAGAAUUACUAAAAUCACCCGACCACAACAGGCUGAUGCAAGAAGUAGGAUGUGAUCGAGUAAGAGGCAGGAUAUGAAACAAAUAUACUCGAUUGCACAGUCUAUUGCCAGACACUGGGUCUGGUCGAGUAUACAUGUCGAGUAACAGACAGGAAAUGAGACAGCUGUACUCGAUUGCACAGUCUGUUGCCAGACACUGGGUGUGGUCAAGUAAGUUGGUCGAGUAAUUGCAAAAACUAAGAAACAGGCAAUGAAAACGAUUAAGUGAUAACAAUAAAACGGAGAAAUCAGAUAGACGAGAAAUUCCUAAGGAUGGGGUAAUCAAGUAGAGUUGUAUCCUAGCCUAUUCGAAUGGUUAACAAGCGCAAUCAAGCUAUCCCUAGACUGAUCAAUUAACUCCCGUGAUAGAAAUCCUCAAGCAAAGCUAGCCCAGACUAAUUUCUAUUAACGGAAUCUAACUAUGCAGGCAAUAAGAACAGACUGAUAAAGUCAAUAAACGCUCUAAUCGGCCAAUCCCUUGGGAUAGAGACGAAUAUCUCAGGAACUAGUCGAUCGAACAUUCCAUCGAACACCUUCUGGGUGCGGGAAUGCUUUGCUUGAAUUCCAGUUGAUCAGAAAGAAAUAAGCAGUAAACGCAACUAGUCCUGAAGGGAUUCAAUCAAUUCUAAAAUUUAACCAUUCUACAGACUACGGAUUCCACAAAUACUCUAUCCCAUCCCUAAGAAUUCUAAGUCACUACUCAGACAACAUGCUCAAAGACAUAAACGCAGAUAAAUGAUAAUAUUGCAUAAGUAAAGAGAUAAAGAGUAGAGAAACAAGAUGACAGAUGAAAUCAAAUGCGGAAUCUGAAUAACUUGGAAAAAUCUCGAAUUACUGGUUGCAGAAGCAAAAGCGGCACAGCAGAGUAAAACAGAAAAUAAAACUGAAGCAAAAACUCAAUGUCGACUAGAUGUCUCAGGACAGAACCCUAAGACAUCUAUUUAUACAAAACGAAAUAAAAUGAUAGUAGACGGGCCAAUAACCUAAUCGCCCGGCCCAUAGAAUGAUAAUGGGCCGAGAUGGGCUUCGUGAUCCGAUGGAGGUCUAGGCCGCUUCUAAACACUUUGUCUUCUCCUCUUCUCUUCCUUGUGCUCAGCUUGUCUGGUUGAGUGCGGAUUUGAUUAGACUAUAAAGACGUGAUCGAGUGUCCGGUCGAGUGAUGGUGAUGGUGGUGAGUGAUGAUACUCGACCAGGGGGUCGAGUAACUUGGUAGAGUGAAUGGCUGAGUGUGGUCAGGUUGUGUGGCGAAGUGAUAUUCGACCAGGGGGUCGAGUGGCGUCAUCGAGUGGCCUGAGCUGAGGAUACUCGACCAGGGGGUUGAGUAGGUGGGAAGAAUAGCUCCAAAGUUACUCGACUUGGGGGUAGAGUAUAGUGCUGGAUGCACACGACCUGGUGGUCGAGUAUGUCUUCUGGUUCUGGCUCGUUUCUUCAAAUUUGCUCGCAAACAGCUCCAAAUCAUCUGAAAACAACUCAGAAAUGCAAUAUGUAUGCAAAGCUAUCCUAAUCAUGCAAAGUAUGCAAGAAUGAUGAGAAAUGAUAUAAAACAGUGAUGAAUGAUACAAAACUGGACUCAAAACGAUGAUGAAUGGACACUGAAAACAUGCAAAUUAUAGACAUAUCAACUCCCCCAAACUUAGUCUUUGCUUGCCCUCAAGCUAAUAAGAAGACAUAGUUGAAGGAGAGGUUUGAAGGCGGGGACUCAGAACCAAAGCAUAUGAUAGAGCGAAUAAAAUCAAUGUCCAAGUUGGUAGUUCUAAGAUGCGAUAUGAUUGAAUUUUACUCAAAAACGUUAGCCAUGCCUUGUUAUCAAUCAAUCCGUCUCUUAUACUCGACCUACACAUGUUUUCAAAUCUACCAAUCCCUUUAACAUUCAUUAGUUCUGGAACGUGAAUCAAGCAAUGCAUCAUCAAUGAACUCAUUUGGCUAAGGUGAAGGUCAGGAGACAAAGAUGGUCCCUCACAAAAUAGGCUUAAGUACCAAGGGAUCUCUCAAGAAUGAUUGAGCUUUAGUAGAAUGCUUAAGGUAAGUCCCAAGUUAUGCAUAUAGAGAUAAGAUCGCAUCUACCCAGAGUAUAACAAUGAAGCUCUAAUGGUAAUCCCAACUCCAGUCCCAACUUAACUCUACCCUUUGCACUCAUGAAUCUUUCAAACUUUUUUUUUUCUUUUUCAAAUCAUUCUUUUCUUUUCUCUUAACUCUAAGAGAAGCUUUCUCAACACUCUGACACAUCUAGCGGAUUUGGAUUUCUUUAACAACUAAGGUUCCUGUUUUUAAUCUUUAAAACCAAAGGCUUUUAACCCUUCUUCUUUAGCUAACAAGAACCUCAUUCUUUUCUUUAACAUUCCCAAAACCUUUACUAGAUUUUUUUUCUAACUUCUUUUAGCUUACUUCCCCUAGAAUUCUUUCCCUUUCCUUAUCAACAAUGAAUUCACCCUUUUCUUUUAAACACAUCCCAACCCGUGAUAUAAGCGCCCACCUAGUCCUAUCCAGUCCGAAAACGCGAACUAGAACUACAUGAGACACUAUCUCUGUCGUUACGAACCUAACACUUUCUACCAAGCUCAAUUGAAAUAAGACCUCACAAACACUCACAAGUGAUAUAGGGCUCGAAAGAAAGUUUAGGUUUUGGUUCGGGUUAACUGCUCUAAUAAGGAGAGUCAGCUACUUGGACUAACAAGAGUGGUUAAAAUGAGUAAGAAAAUCCAAGUAUUUUAGGGUAUCCAUGAGUUCAAAUUCGAUGCCAAGACAUGAUAAUUCUAAAUCAGAUUCAAGUUCAAAUUGAUAGGGAAUGGUAUCAGAUCCAAACAGUGUGGUCGAGUAGAGCAAUCUAGGCAUGGUGCAGUUUUACUUCAAUUUCAAUGACUACGCAUCAGACAACUAACAACGAGGGCACUGAGCUUAUCUGGUGAACCAAAAUGCUUACAAGGCUAUCUCAUCAUUAUCCCCUAUGCAUAUGCAACAAUCCUAAACGAAACACUCUAGACUCGUUCCUAAAUGCAAUGCAACUACAUGAGCACUCUAUUUUUGUGAAAUCAUUUUCUGAAAUUUUUCAAUUUUUUUGUUUUUUCCUAUGCCUUAGAUGAAUGCAGACUCAAGAUUAUAUACAAUGCAACACACAUUGCCUGAGCCCUCCCCCAAACUUAAAUCACACAGUCCACUGUGUGACCAAAUUUGGAAGAGAGUACUCAGGACAAAACACAUCACAGAAACAAAAUAAAAACAAGAGAUGGUAUAUUACAAUGGUGGAGUGAGGUGCAUACCUCAGUGGAAGAAGGAGCAGAGUUGGUCGUCAAUAGCUGCCUGUGAUUGCUCCCAGGCCAUCGAAGAAUCUCCCAGUUGUGUCUCAGCUUCCCCCUAGGGGUACUCGACCUCUGCUCCUUCGUCGCGGCCCGCACCGCUCUGAUGAUACUCGACCUCUCUUCUUCUGCUGCGGCCAGCACCGUGGUCGAGUGAUUUACUGACAUGGAGAAGUUUUGAUUGCACCACUCGCUAUACUCGAUCACAUCGUCAUUCAGUCCCUGUAGGGUGUGGUCGAGUGAUUUCAUGGGGUGGAGAAACCAGAACAAUGUCGAGUAUCCUUGAUUGCUCUUUGGUCGAGUGUAUUGCUGUUCCCUCAAAGCCAGAAUCUAUUUCCGUCAGCUCUUCAUACUUAUCGCCUGAAAACACUAACAAGAUGCAUCAAAAACAACAAGAAAAAUUAAAGAUAUGUACAAAGAUAGGCAUGGGACUUCCUCCCAAGUGAGCUUGUUUUAGGUCUCUAGCUUGACUCUUCAUACUCAUUAGGCGUUUAUAGGCUCAUCCAAAGGAACAGAAGUUCCUUCUGGAAUAAACUGAUCUAUCAUGUAUUUCUUGAGCCGUUGUCCAUUGACUGUGAAGUCUCCAUUCUUUCCAGCUAGAGUGAUAGCACCAUAAGGUCGGACUGCAGUAACAGAGAAAGGACCAGACCAUCUAGACUUGAGCUUGCCUGGAAAAAGCCUCAAGCGAGAGUUGAACAGCAACACUUGAUCACCAACCUUAAAAUCUCUUGAGACUAUCUUCUUGUCAUGGAAAGACUUGGUUCGCUCCUUGUAGAUUUUGGAACUCUCAUAAGCUUCUAAGCGAAUCUCGUUGAGAUCGUUCAGUUGGAUCAAUCGCUUCUCCUUGGCGGUUUUAAUGCCAAAGUUCAGGAGUUUAACUGCCCACAUGGCUUUAUACUCGAGUUCAACAGGCAAAUGACAGGAUUUUCCAUAGAGGAGGUUGAAAGGAGUCGUUCCAAUAGGGGUCUUGAAGGCUGUUCUGUAAGCCCAUAGUGCGUCAUCGAGCUUAGUAGACCAAUCUUUCCUUGUAAUUCCCAUUGUUUUCUCUAAAAUUGCUUUUAUCUCCCUGUUGGAGAUUUCCACCUGCCCGCUCGUCUGUGGAUGAUAAGGAGUGGCUACCUUGUGCUUUACUCCAUGCUUCUUCAAAAGGUUCUCAAAAACCUUGUUGAUAAAAUGUUUCCCUCCGUCACUGAUCACAACUCUCGGGACUCCAAAUCUAGGGAAGAUAAUUGUCUUGAACAGCUUUAGCACAACUCUAGCAUCAUUGGUGGGGCUGGCUAUGGCUUCCACCCAAUUGAUACAUAGUCUACUACGACCAGUAUGUACUUGUUCCCGUAAGAAAAAGGAAACGGACCCAUAAAAUCAAUUCCCCAAACGUCAAAGAUCUCAACUUCUAAGAUCGGAUUCUGAGGCAUCUCAUUCCUUCUGCUGAUGUUCCCUUUCCUUUGACAUGAGUCACAUUUCGAGAUAAAUUCCUGAGCAUCCUUAAACAUUGUCGUCCACCAAAAACCAGCUUGCAAGAUUUUUGACACUGUCUUGAACGUUGCAAAGUGGCAACCAUAGGCGGACCCAUGGUAGUGCAGUAGGAUGCCUUCGAUUUCGUCUUCUGAAACGCAUCUCCUGUAGAUCUUAUCCUUGCAGAGUGUGUAGAGAUAAGGUUUGUCCCACUAGAAGUGGUUAAUGUCCUUGAAGAACUUCUUCUUCUCAUAGCUCGACAAAUUCGGAGGCUCUUCACCACUAACCAAGUAGUUGACGUGAUCAGCAUACCACAAAAGCUUUUCUUCAAUUGCACAUACUUGAUCGAGUGAUUUCCGAAUUUGAGCACUCUCGUUAAGUUGCUGAAUUGCCAUUAGCUGUUCUUCUGGCAUGGAAUCGUCAAUAGGGACCUCGUCUUCAAUUCUCAUUCUAGUUAGAUGAUCAGCUACACCGUUUUAAAUUCCCUACUUAUCAAUUAUCUCCAUAUCAAACUCUUGGAGCAAUAAGAUCCAUCUCAACAGCCUAGGUUUGGUAUCCUUCUUCGCGUAUAUAUGCCUCAGAGCAGCAUGAUCAGUGUAGACUGUCACCUUAGAGCCGACUAGGUAGCUUCUAAAUUUUUCGAAUGCAAAUACCACAGCUAGCAGUUCCUUCUCUGUAGUGGCAUACCUUACCUGUGCAUCAUCCAUCGUUCUUCUCGCGUAGUAUAUCACAUGCAACGUUUUAUCAAUCCUCUGGCCCAAAACUGCUCCUACUGCAUAAUCUGAAGCAUCGCACAUGAUCUCGAAUGGGAAGUCCCAGUUUGGAGCUUGGACUAUUGGGGCCGUGACCAAAGCUUCCUUGAUUAACUUAAAGGCUGUCAAACAUUCUUCAUCAAAUGUAAACUCGGCUUCCUUGCACAGUAGUCUUGUGAGCGGUCUUGCCAACUUGGAGAAAUCCUUGAUGAAUCUUUUGUAAAACCCUGCAUGUCCAAGAAAACUCCUGAUGUCCUUGACAGUCUUUGGUGGCUAUAACUACAUCAUCACGUCAACCUUAGCCUUAUCAACCUCUAUCCCCUCCUCAGAAAUUUCGUGCCCCAAAACGAUGCCUUCUCUAACCAUGAAAUGGCAUUUCUCCGAGUUCAGCACCAGGUUUGUCUCUGCACAUCUUUUGAGUACCCUUCAUAGGUUCAACAAACACGAGGAGAAGGAAGAGCCAUACACAGAAAAAUCAUCCAUGAAUACCUCUACCAUCUCCUAUAUCAAAUCCGAGAAAAUGGAAGUCAACCACCGCUGAAAAGUAGCAGGUGCAUUACAGAGACCGAAAGGCAUACGCUUGUAAGCAAAGGUCCCAUAAGGACAAGUAAAAGUAGUUUUCUCUUGGUCAUUUGGGUGAAUAGGGAUUUGAAAAAAUCCGCUAUAGCCAUCCAACAAGCAAUAGUAAGGAUGGUUUGCUAAUCUUUCUAGCAUUUGAUCAAUGAAGGGCAAUGGGAAAUGGUCUUUUCUAGAGGCAGCAUUUAACUUCCUAUAGUCAAUACACAUCCUAUGUCGAGUUAUAGUCCUAGUGGGUAUCAGUUCAUCUUUAGCAUUUUUAACAACUGUCAUACCUCCCUUUUUAGGAACGCAGUGAACUGGAGAUACCCAAGUGCUAUCAGAGAUAGGGUAAAUAACCCCAGCAUCUAAUAGUUUAAGUAUCUCCUUUUUCACAACCUCUUUCAAGUUUGGAUUUAAUCUCCUUUGAGGUUCAAUGCUAGAGUAGGAUUCAUUUUCAAGAUGGAUUCUAUGGGUGCACAAGGUGGGUGAAAUCCCCUUAAUAUCAUCUAACGAAUAUCCUAUAGCUUUCCUAUACUUCUUGAGCUCAGUUAUCAGCAGGUUUACUUGAUCAGCAGUUAGCUCAUCAUUCACUAUGACAGGAUAAGUAGAGUUUAGUCCAAGAAAAACGUACCUUAGCCCUUUUGGUAGCGGUUUCAAAUCUACUUUGGGUGCCUUGAGUUCAGACCAGUCAUCGGAUACUAAGUUGGCUUCAGAGGAGGGGUUGUGGUCGAGUAGUUCGGUCGAGUACACUGAAUGGACUGUUAGUCGAGUGAUGUGGUCAAGUAUAUAUUCCUUCCUUGCUCUUUCACCCAAAUCUUCAUAUUCUCCUGGAUUCUCAACUGCUUUGUGUUCAUCUAACAGCUUCUGGUACCCUAGAGUCUCCAAAUGUAAAUCUCCUUCUUAGCUAUCCUUUGUUAGAGCACUCUGUUGAUGAUCUGUUUCUCUUAGCUCUUCUAGCAUUUCGUCAGCUAACAUAUCCAUCUCUUCAAUCCAGAAAACAUUUCCUUCUAUUGUAGGUUUCUUCAUGGUGUUGGUGAUAUCGAAGGUCAUCUUGAGAUCUCUCCCGAGGUUAAGAUCGAUCUUUCCCUUCUUAACAUCAAUGAUAGCUCCGACUGUAGCUAAAAAUGUUCUUCCCAAUAUCAAAGGGUCUUUAGGUUCUUCAUCCAUUUCUAGAACCACAAAGUCUGUAGGUACUUCGACCACGCCUUUCAUGACUGGUAAGUCUUCCAGGAGACCAUGGGGAAUUCUAACAGAUCUGUCAGCCAGGACCAGGGAUAUUUGUUUGUGUGAAACCAGAGAUAUCAUUCCUUAGUCUCGCAGUCCAGGAGUUUGAGAACAACUUAGCCAAGAAGGCUUUCUUGCAGUCAUUCCUGGAGGUGAUAGAGCCUUGAGGAAGCGAUUUUUCCCACUGAUGGGCUUUGUCUCCAAGAGAGAAUGGAAACAAUCUGAGCUUGAAGUCAUCCUCACUAACUCCAUUGAUCUUUGUUAGGCUGCAGAGCCUAUCAAACUCGUCCAGGUGAUCGAGUGGAUCCUCCAUAGGGAGGCCGUGGAAGUUGUUGCUCUGAACCAUGGCAAUGAGACCGCUAUUGAUCUCAAAGUUGUUGUUCUGCACUGGUGGAGGCACGGAUCCAUUACGCUGAUUGUGGUUGCGUGGUGCAUCGCCUGCACCUAUGUUGUUUGGUUGCACUUGCUCAUCUACAACUGUAGCCAUUGUGUCUGUUUCUGUCUGUGUUCUGAGUUGGCGUGCAAUACGGUCGAUAUUAUCGUUGAACAGGAGAUUCUGAUUUCCUCGUGACCGUGUUUGCAUACAACGAGUACCAACUGAUGAAGCUAGUGAUAGAAAUCCUCAAGCAACAGGUUUAACAACAAAUCAAUUCACUCCCGUGAUAGAAAUCCUCAAGCAAAGCUAGCCCAGACUAAUUCCCAUUAACGGAAUUUAACUAUGCAGGCAAUAAGAACAGACUGAUAAAGUCAAUAAACGCUCUAAACGGCCAAUCCCUUGGGAUAGAGACGCAUAUCUCAGGAACUAGUGGAUCAAGCAUUCCAUCGAACACCUUCUAGGUGCGGGAAUGCUUGAGAUCGAAUUCCAGUUGAUCAGAAAGAAAUAAGCAGUAAACGCAACUAGUCCUGAAGGGAUUCAAUCAAUUCUAAAACUUAACCAUUAUACAGACUACGAAUUCCACAACUACUCUAUCCCAUCCCUAAGAAUUCUAAGUCACUACUCAGACAACAUGCUCAAAGACAUAAACGCAGAUAAAUGAUAAUAUUGCAUAAGUAAAGAGAUAAAGAGUAGAGAAACAAGAUGACAGAUGAAAUCAAAUGCGGAAUCUGAAUAACUUGGAAAAAUCUCGAAUUACUGGUUGCAGAAGCAAAAGCGGCGCAGCAGAGUAAAACAGAAAAUAAAACUGAAGCAAAAACUCAAUGUCGACUAGAUGUCUCAGGACAGAACCCUAAGACAUCUAUUUAUACAAAACGAAAUAAAAUGAUAGUAGACAGGCCAAUAACCUAAUCCCCGGCCCAUAGAAUGAUAAUGGGCCGAGAUGGGCUUCGUGAUCCGAUGGAGGUCCAGGCCGCUUCCAAACACUUUGUUUUCUCCUCUUCUCUUCCUUGUGCUCAGCUUGUCUGGUUGAGUGCGGAUUUGAGUAGACUGUGAAGACGUGAUCGAGUGUCCGGUCGAGUGAUGGUGAUGGUGGUGAGUGAUGAUACUCGACCAGGGGGUCGAGUAACUUGGUAGAGUGAAUGGCCGAGUGUGGUCAGGUGGUGUGGCGAAGUGAUACUCGACCAGGGGGUUGAGUGGCAUCAUCGAGUGGCCUGAGCUGAGGAUACUCGACCAGGGGGUCGAGUAGAUGGGAAGAAUGGCUCCAAAGUUACUCGACUUGGGGUCGAGUAUGGUGCUGGAUGCACAGGACCUGGUGGUCGAGUAUGUCUUCUAGGUCUGGCUCGUUUCUUCCAAUUUGCUCGCAAACAGCUCCAAAUCACCUGAAAACAAAUCAGAAAUGCAAUAUGUAUGCAAAGCUAUCCUAAUCAUGCAAAGUAUGCAAGAAUGAUGAGAAAUGAUAUAAAACAGUGAUGAAUGAUACAAAACUGGACUCAAAACGAUGAUGAAUGGACACUGAAAACAUGCAAAUUAUAGACAUAUAACUCCCCUAAACUUAGUCUUUGCUUCCCCUCAAGCAAACAAUUAAGAACAAGCUGGUGGUGAGGUUUGAAAGCGGGGACUUAUAGCCAAAGCACCUGAUAAACCAUAUGAAAUCAAUGUCCAAAUUGAUAGUUCUAAGCUGCAAUAUGAUCGAAUUCUACUCAAAAACGUUAGCCAUGCCUUGUUAUUAAUCAAUCUGACUCAUAUGCUCGACCUACACAUGCUUUCAAAUCUACCAAUCCCUUUAACAUUCAUUAGUUCUGGAACGUGAAUCAAGCAAUGCAUCAUCAAUGAACUCAUUUGGCUAAGGUAAAAGGUCAAGAGACAAAGAUUGUCCCUUACAGAAUAGGCUUCAGUAACAGGGGAUCUCUCAAAAAAUGAUUAAGCUUUAGUAGAUUGCUAAAGGUAAGUCCCAAGCUAUGCAUAUAGAGAUAAGAUCCCAUCUACCCAGAGUAUAUCAAAUGAAGCUCUAAUGGUAAUCCCAUCUCCAAUCCCAAUAUAAAAACCUAACUCUACCCUUUGCAUUCAUGAAUCCUUUAUGCCCUUUUUCUAAUCAUUCUUUUCUUUUCUCUUAACUCUAGGAGAAGAUUUCUCAACACUUUGAUACAUCUAGCGGAUUUGGAUCUCUUUAACAACUAAGGUUCCUGUUUUUAGCAUUUUAAAACCGAGGGCUUUUGCCCAUCUUCAAUAGCUAACAAGAACUCUUUCUUUUCUUUACAAAUCCCAAAACCUUUACUAGAUUUUUUCUGCUUCUUUAGCUUACCUUACCUAGAGUCUUUUACCUUUUCUCAUCAGAAAAUCCAAGUAUUUUAGGGUAUCCAUGAGUUCAAAUUUGAUGCAAACAUGACAAUUAAAGAUCAGAUUCAGGUUCAUAUUGAUAGGGAAUGGUAUCAGAUCAUGACAGUGUGGUCGACUAGAGCAAUCUAGGCAUGGUUCAGUUUUAUUUCUAAUUCAUUGACUACGCAACAGACAACUAGCAAAGAGGGCACUAAGUUUAUCCGGUGAACCAAAAUGCUUACAAGGCUAUCUCAUCAUUAUCCCCUAUGCAUAUGCAAAAAUCCUAAAUGAAACACUCUAGACUCGAUCCUAAAUGUAAUGCAACUACAUAAACAUUCUUUUUUUUGUGAAAUCAUUUCUGAAAUUUUUCAAAAUUUUUUUGGUUUUUCUAUGCCUUAGAUGUAUGCGGACUAAAAAAUAUACACAAUGCAAUACACACUUCCUGAGCCCUCCCCAAAACUUAAAUCACACAGUCCACUGUGUGGAUAAACUUGGAAGAGAGUACCCAGGACAAAUCCAUUCACAGAAACAAAAUAAAGAACAAAUCACAAGAGAUGAUAUAAUACAAUGGUGAAGUGAGGCGCUUACCUCAGUCGAAGAAUGAACGAAGUCGGUCGUCAAUGGCUGCUUGUGAUUGCUCCCUGGCCAUAGACGAACCGCCCUGUUCCGUAUCAGCUCCAGUAGGUGGGUACUCGACCUCCUCAGCUCUGUGGCGGCCAUCACCGCUCUGAGGAUACUCGACCUCUCUUCUUCAUGUAAACUACGAGAAUGCAGAAGUCGUCUACCCUUGUUGUUAGAUUGAGUGAGUGUGGUCCUCCUCUUCCUCCCAGAUUCAUGAGGCUCGAAUGAUGAAUGCCUCGCAGGGACAUGCAGAAUCUCCUGCUCUCUAGGCUCAGGUUUGCGCCGAAUUGGCUCGGGCGCGUCAUAUCUCCUCGAAGGCAUGUCCUGAGGGAGCUGUCCCUGUGGAAUAGCUGUAGUGGAAGUGGAGCAGCUGAUCUUAUCCUUCAGAAACUUGAUAGCCCUGAGGCACUUGGCGAGAAACUUAUCCUGUUUCUUGCACCACUUCUGCAGCUUGAUGUUAUUCCUGUGAGCUUCGCUCAAACUCUUGCUUUCCCUCGCUGGAAGUAUAUGCUCACUGAAAUGAUACAUGCUCGUGUCAAACUCCGCCUAAUCUAUGUCAUCUGUCUCAUCAACAUCUUCUGUUAUAGCUCCUUCGGUGUGACUAAUCUCCUCAGUUGGCAGACUGCCCUCGAAAUAAAGAUCUUCAAGCGCAGGCUUGAAGUCAAUGUUCCUGCCCUCAAGAAUCCUAGUAGCAUCAAUGUAGGGGAGAAGAAUGUUGGCGAUUCUAAUCGAUGAAUGCUCGAACCUGUAGCGGUGAAAGUCGCUAGCCAUGUCAAACUCCAAGAACUCACAUCGGCGCAAGUGAUCCAAGUCCAUCAUUCUCGGUGCUAACCCUGGUUCCUUAAGCGGUACUCCACAAGCUUCCAGAAUUGGCGUCACAACGCCAUCCAUGCAUAGUGCUCCUGUCACCUUAUUCUUGUCGUUCGUCAACGCCCACUUCCUAUAUCCACACAGGUGGAUCAACAGAGGCAUGACUAGUGGUGCGUUGUUGAGAUCGCCUCUCAAGACAUUCUUUCCCUUUGUACAGCAGAGAAUCCCUGUAAGCGCGGAAUCUAUCAUCUCCAUGUCCGUGUUAGACACGGUGCAUGUAGACUCCCUAGAGUAAAAAACGUUGGCAACCGAGCGGUGAAAGUAGCGGAUCACAGGACUCCGGAUUUGGUUGCUUUUGGACCGCGCCAAGUUUAGCGGUAAAUUAUUCCCAAUAGUAGCCCACAAAUCCUUAAGCUCUUCCCUGUCAAACCUGGUUUUGGUUCCCUUUCCACUAGGGAAACAAAACAGUUCUUCCAACUUCUUGAUCGAAAGCUGAUACCACUGUUCAUCCAUUGAGAACGUCAAGAACCCUAACCCUAAACCCUAAACCCUAAACCCUAAACCCUAAACCCUAAACCCUAAACCCUAAACCCUAAACCCUAAACCCUAAACCCUAAACCCUAAACCCUAAACCCUAAACCCUAAACCCUAAACCCUAAACCCUAAACCCUAAACCCUAAACCCUAAACCCUAAACCCUAAACCCUAAACCCUAAACCCUAAACCCUAAACCCUAAACCCUAAACCUUAAACCCUAAACCCUAAACCCUAAACCCUAAACCCUAAACCCUAAACCCUAAACCCUAAACCCUAAACCCUAAACCCUAAACUCAAUGUAUGUGAGUCCCUCAUACAUCUCCACUUGCAGUGUGGAAAGAAACUCGAUUGUCUCCUCCUUAUAGGAAGCGUAAGAGUAAGACAUGAGUGUUUCCAGAUGCCACUUCUCGAACAGAUGCUGCACGUCCUCCAGUAACCCCAGCUGGGCUAAAGUCUCAUAGUAGGGAUACCUCGUUCCCCAUAAAUCAUUCAUCUCAAAGAAUCUGAUAUACUCCUCCACUGUAACCUAUUCGGGUUUGUUCAGUAGCUUCGUCUUCUUGCACCAUGACUUUGGCUCAUACUCAGUUUUGAUGUCCUCAUCAAUCAGCUCAUAUCUACUGGGCAUCGCUCUCUUCCCUCUGGUGAUUUCUGCUCUUCUCUGAUUACGUCGAGCAGAGGAGCGUUGAAAUUCAUCCCUGAAGCUCUCGUAAACAUGUUCCUCUCUCUCCGGUCUAGAGGACCAGGACUCAGCUUCAUCCACAUUAUAAUCAGGAUCCAUAGAGGAUUCUCGACUGUAGUUACUCAUGAUCAAACCUGUAAACAAUUGAAACUCAAAGAUAAACGUUAAUAAGUUAGUCUCAACAAAACCAAAAACACAAACCAACACAGUAAACCGGUCGAGUGAUGUAAUCGAGUAAACCUUCGUUUAAUUUUUUUUUUUUUUUCUUUUCUUUCGGUUGAUCAAGUGAUUUCGUACGACCGAGUGAAGUUCGUUUCGUGGUAAGAGUGAUGCGUAGGUCGAGUGGUGAGCUUGAAGAGGAGGAGAUAUGGUGAUGCGGUUUGAAAGAGGUUAAGUGAAAAUGGAGGAGCGGUGAUUCGAGUGAUUGUGGUGGUUGAGAGGCGAGGUGAGCUGAAUGAUUCCUCGGUUGCGAAUGUGAGAAGAGAAGACGCGAUCGAGUGAAGAGGCGAUGAAGAAGUUUAUUAUGAGGGAUCGAGUGAAGUGGAGCUCACGGAAGAAGAGAAGAUGGUGGUGGCUUUGGUGAAGAGGUGAGUUGCCGCAAUCGAGUGGUUGUGAGCUUGGAGGUCGAGUGAUUAAAACGAACACUUGAAGACUUGAAUUGCAAUGAGCGACGAUGGGAGAUGAGAGAGUUGCGAAAAGUUUGGUGUGUGGAGAAAGAUGUUGAGGUCGAGUAUAUGAAGAGGAUGGUGAGGAGGUCGAGUGGAUGAGAGUAUGAGAGUUGGGUUGUUGGUUGUAAUGAAUGAGGAGGGAUGGGGUCGAGUUAAUAGGUGUGGAGGAGAUAACGAGGUCGAGUAAGUGAUAGGUGUGGGAUGGGGAUGGCGUCGAGGUUGAGUGGAGAUAGGAUAAGGUGAGGGGGUCGAGUGGUUGUGAGAAGAAAGAGUUGGAUUUCUUGUCUGUUGGUUAGGAGCGUGGGAGACAUAGGGUGCAGCAGUGGGUCCCUCGUCUGUCUCCUUAUUCUAAAUUAUUAUUCUUUCUUCACUAGGAAAGUCUCAGGAAAUCCAACAAUCUUCUGUAAACUUAAUAAACUUCCUGUAAGAACUUGUAGCUUCUGUUGGUCGAGUGAAAUGAUGAUUUAAAAGUUUUAGAUUUUAAACACUCAACCAAUGUACUCGGUCCCUAGGCCGUCUGUAGAGUAAAAGUUUUGAAUUUUUACUCUAGCUUUACGUUAUUCCUCUGUUCCUGAGAACCACAAACACAACUAAAAUAAAUCAAAAAUAACAAGAAAGUAAAAAUUAUUUACAAGGAUAAUCAUGGGACUUCCUCCCAAGUGAGUUUGUUUAAAGUCUCUAGCUUGACUCCUCACACUUAUCAAGAAGAAAAUGAAUGAUAGAGAGGGUCUGCAUAGUCCUCUCUAAUAUCAUCAUCAUACUCAGCGUCCUCCCUGGAGAGGUCUACAGCAGAAUACUCAAUUCCCCUCUCUUCAAAAUAUGCUUCUUUCUCUUUUGGAGGGUUAUCUAUCUCUUCAGACCAUCUUGAAGUGAACUUCUUUAUAGGGAUAGUGUCAAUCCCGCCUUUAGGUUGAGCUUCCUUCUGCAACUGAUUCUGCUUACUUCUAAGUUCCUCAACAGUGUGGGCUUGCUUCUCUAUAGUUUCAUCUUGCUUCUCAGACCUCUUUUUAAGUUCCUUUACUCUUUUAGUCUCAUAUCCUUCUCCUGAGAUCGCUCUAUCAUUUCCAAAGGUUUUUCCAUCUUCUGUUGACCCUUGUGGAGUUUUGUUGAUGUCAAACUGCAACUUGAUGUGCUUUCCAAGGUUGAGACUUAUUUUCCCUUCCCUGACAUCUAUCACUGCUCCCACUGAAGCUAAGAAGGAUCUUCCCAGGAUUAAGGACCCUUAUGCUCUACUUCCAUAUCCAGCACCACGAAGUCUGUAGGCACUUCUACUCCAUUAAUCAUGACUGGUAGAUCUUUCAGCAUGUCGUAGGGUUUUCUUAAAGACCUAUCCGCAAGGAUCAAAGUCAGGUCACAAGGUUUAUACUGAAUAAACUCUAACCUUCUUGCCACAGAGAGUGGCAUUAAGCUGACAGAGGCUCCGAGAUCGCACAGACAAUCGCUGAAAGCUAAUUACCCAAUGGAACAUGGUAGAGUGAAAGAUCCAGGAUCUUCUAACUUUUCUUGAACAAUCCUCUUAUCAACAGCUCGAGAUGGAGUGGCAUCACUUUCAUCAUCUGAAUUGUGAUACAUCUUGAUCUUUUCCAGUAUCAAAUUUCUCACAUCUUUGUGAGGAUCGGGAAUCAGGUUGAGAAUUUCCAUCAGUGGCAUCACUUCUUCAAUCUUGUCUACCUGCUUCGCUGCAACAGACUUGUAUCUCUCCAUCCACGCUUUCUUGAAUGUCCACGGAAAAGCACGUGAGGGUAAUGAAGUAUGUUUGAAUCGUUUUACCAUUCUCUCGAUUAUGGCGGACUUCUCUUCUGAGGUGGAUUGAAUGAGAUGGCGAGAACAAGAAGAAUGGUUGAAUUCAAGAACAGAGACUUCAAUCUGAGUGGAAGCCUUCCUUUCUUGAACAUCACUGUCCCUAGUGAUUAAGUCAGGGACAUGUCGAGUUGGCAGCUCUCGAUCAUGGCAGUUAGUGAUGGCGUGAGCAGUUGCAUACUCCUUUGAAUUCUGUAUUGACUUCCUUGGAAGUCCUGUGACUUUAGGUGCAGAGGUAGAUGCUGAUUGUCCUUCUAAAUAUCUGACUUUGGUAUUCAAUGCCUCCACUUUGGCAUUCAGGUCAUUGUAGUUGUAGUCCAGCUUAUGGUGCAAUUCAAAUAAUUUCUUAGCAAUUUCCAUGGAGCUAGAUGCUUGUCCCUGUAGCAGCUGUUGUACCAUCUGUUUCAUUUCAGCAUCAGGAGCAGCAGGAUCUUGGUUUUGCUGAGGUGCAAACCCAGGUGGUGGUUGCGGCUGGUAGUUCCCCUGAAAUUGCUGCUUAGGAACAAAACCUUGAUUGUAAGGAACAAAAGGUUUGUUCUGAUCUUGUUGUUGCUGUGGAGGAUACACUUGAUCUUGAGGAUUAACAACGUUGGUGCUGCGGUAGGAGAGGUUGGGGUUGUUGGUUUUGAAGUUGUUAUACCCUUUGUAGCCGCUCUGGUUGUUGUUGAUGUAGCUGACUUCUUCCAACUGGUUACCCUCCCCACCUUGGACUUGAUACUUCUCGUCAUCAACAAGGAAGUGCACAUGCUUCUGCUGGCUAAGAAGAAUCAUGUCCAGCUUGUCAUUCAGUGCUUUGAUCUCCUUCCUUUGUUUGUCAUCAGAUUCAGUUGUGCCUCUGACGGUCCUAUCACAGUCCUCGUUGUAAUUACCAUCUGAUUGAGCAAGGUUCUCAACAAUUUCCCAGCCUUCUUCAACAUCUUUGUUCUGGAAGUUCCCAUUGCUGGCGGUUUCCAGAAGGAUUCUCAUGCGUGGCAAAACGCCUCUAUAAAGAGUGCUGAGCAGAGAGGCUUUAGUGAAGCCAUGAUGAGGGCAUUGGGUUGUAUAACCCUUAAAACGCUCCCAUUCUUCACAGAAGCUUUCACCAGCCUUCUGUAAAAAGCCAGAGAUCUCAUUUCUGAGUCUUGCAGUUCUGGCGUUGGAGACGAACUUUGAUAGAAAAGCCUUCUUGCAAUCAUCCCAGGUGGUGAUUGAGUCAUGGGACAGAUUCUACUCCCAAAUGUGAGCUUUGUCGCCCAAGGAGAAUGGAAACAAACGGAGCUUGAAUCCGUCUUCACUGACACCAUUGAUUUUUGUUAGGUUGCAGAGCCUAUCGAAUUCAUUAAGGUGGUCGAGUGGAUCCUCAAUUGGCAGACCAUGGAAUUUGUUCCCCUGAAUCAUCGAGAUGAGACCGCUCUUAAUCUCGAAGUUGUUGUUCUAGAUAGCAGGAGGUGCAAUUCCUUUCCGCUAACGGUGAUCACGUGGUGCGUUUCCAGCACCAAUGUUGGCAGGGCCUUUUUGAUGAUUCUGUUCGUCAGCCAUUUCGAGUGGUUGUUGUGGUAUUAGGUUGACUGUGUUUCUCUUUUCUCUGAGUUCGCGAGCUAUGCGGUCGAUGUUGUCGUUGAAAAGGAGGUUCGGAUUGCCUGUUGAUCGAGUUUGCAUACAGCAGAGGUGUACCUAGAACAAGAAGACAACAAGAAAAAUACACAGUUAGCAACCGAAUUGAAAAUUGAAAAAGAACUUGAUCUAAGCAAGUCUGAAAUCUCAAAUGUAACAAAAAAACACCCAAUUGGCAACGGCGUCAAAUUGAUAAUAGAUUUUUUAGUCAGUUAUCUUAAAACACGAAUCAUGUCGUUGUAGUAUUUUAGUGGCUUGCUAGAACACUGCUAGAACACCAAUCAUACAGCAGAGGUGUACCUAGAACAAGAAGACAACAAGAAAAACACACAGUUAGCAACCAAAUUGAAAAUUGAAAAAGAACUUGAUCUAAGCAAGUCUGAAAUCUCAAAUGUAACAAACAAACACCCAAUUGGCAACAGGGACAAAUUGAUAAUAGGUUUUUUAGUCAAUUAUCUUAAAACACCAAUCAUGUCGUUGUAAUAUUUUAGGUUGUCAAUCCAAAUGAGUUUGAUGCUAACAAUAAGGAUGACUUGAUGGCAUGUGUAUGAUUGGUGUUCUAGCAGUGUUCUAGCAAGCCACUAAGUCACUAAGUCACUAAGUCAAGCCAAGUAAUAACAGGUUUUGGUGUGUUCUAGCAGUCCUAAGUGAACAUGCAGAAAACAGAAAAUCAAGCAGAAACAAUAAAACACUUGACCAACACAGCUCGUUGCAGAGCACUGGGUGUGGUCGAGUGACAGUUCGAGUAACAGACAGAAAAUGUAACAGGGAUACUCGAUUGCACAGUCUGUUGCCGGACAACUGGGGGGUCAAGUAACAGGUCGAGUAACAGUAAAGAAUUGCAGAAACUAAGCAACAGAUGAAAAGAUGCAGUAAACAACAGUAGAGUAAACAAUAAAAUCAAUCAGAUAAAGAAUUCCCGAGGAUGGGGUAAUUGAGUAGUUUCGUUUCCUCAAUUUACAGGUGAUUGACAUGCUCAAUAAAUUAUCCCUAGACAACAAGUUCAUUAACCAAAUCUAAGUGCCACCGCAAUAGAGACCCUCAACUUAACCUAGUCCCAGACUCAAUCACCAUUGACGAGAGCUAACCUUAUAGGCAUUACGAAUCAACAAGUUAAAGCCAAAACACUCCCUGCAACCAAUACCUUGGUACUGAGCCACGAAUCUCUGGAAUUAGUGGUUCAGACAUUUCAUCGAACACCUUUUGGGCGCGGAAAUGUCUGGGCUCAAAUUCCAGUUGAUCAAAAAGCAAUAGGGAUUAAGAACAACUAAUCCAGAAGGGAUCUAUCAAUCAAUACUCAACCACCUAGCAUACUGAGAAUUCUACACUACUCUAACCCAUCCUCAGAAACCUAUUCACUACUCAGACAUCAUUGAAGAGAACAUAAACGUUGAACAGGAUGAAAACAUGAUAACAACAGUGUAAUAGCAAAACAAUAACAGGAUGAACAACAAUAAACAAAAUCAAGAACAAAUACUGAAUACUGAAUAGAUAAAGAGAAAUCCAGAUUACAAAAGGUCUAGAACACAAUGUCUGCGAAAUAAAACUAGAUAAAAACCUCUUCUCGAAAAUGUAAAGUACAUGCUACUUAUAGCAAAAUAUUCGAAAACCCUAAUACUCAAAACGAUGCAGUAUUGGGACAUAUUAAGAACUAUACUCAACCCAGAUGGUCGAGUGAGAGGUCGAGUGAUAUGCUAGAGUCUUCUUUUCUUCCUUGUGCUCGAGUGUCUAGUUGAGUGCGGAAUGAAGAAGACUCUAAAGCUUGCCAUAGAGUAUGUAGUCGAGUGGUGGUGGUGAAGACACUCAACCUGGGGGUUGAAUGAUGUGAUCGAGUGACUGGUCAGGUGGUGGAGGUGAAUACACUCGACCAGGUGGUCGAGUGAGGUGAUCGAGUAUCUCUCGUGGUGGUACUCGGCCAGAGGGUCGAGUGAUGAGAUGAAAUUGUGAACUCCCCUACUCGACCAGGGGGUCGAGUGGUCUGUUGAGGUCUUGAAGCUUCUACUCGACCUCGGGGUCGAGUGGUUUGACAUGAUCAGGUCCGCUUCUUCCAGUUAGCUCGUCAACAGCUCUAAAUCACCUGAAAUCAACACAAAUAUGCAACAUGCAUGCAAACCUAUCCUAAACAUGCAAAGUGAUGACAAAUGAUGAGAAUGGUAUAAAACACUGAUGAUAAGGUGCUAAAGUGAUGACAAAUGGUAUGCUCAAACUUGCAAAAUACACACUUAUCAACAUGAUAGCAACAAAGUAAUAGCAGGAUGAUAAUAGGAUGAACAACUUGGUAAACCAAAUCAAAAGCAAAUACUGAAUACUGAAUAGAUUAAGAGAAAUCCGGAUUACAAAAACGUCAAGAACACAGUGUCUGCGGAAAAUAAAACUUAGGUAAACGAAAAUGUAAAAUACAUGGUACUGAUAGCGAAAUAUUAUGAAACCCUAAUACUCAAAACGACACAAUAUUGGGACGGAUUAAGAACGGUACUCGACCCAGGUUGUCGAGUAAUUUGUCGAGUGAUAAGCUGGAGUCUUCUUCUCUUCCUUGUGCUUGAGUGUUGGUUGAGUACGGAAUGGAGAAGACUCUAAAGCUGGAAGUCGAGUAAGAAGUCGAGUGAUUGAGAUGGUGGUACUCGGCUUGGUGUUAAAGUGAUCGUAGAGUGUGUGAUGAUGGUGGGACUCGGUCGUGUAAUCGAGUGAGUGAUCGAGUGAUUGUGAUGGGGAUGCUCGACCAGGGGGUCGAGUGGUGUGAUCGAGUGAUUGUCAGGUGGUGUGUUGAAGUCGUUAAGCCAUGUACUCGACUAGGUAGGUCGAGUGGUUUGAUAUGAUCAGGUCCGCUUCUUCCAAUUAACUCGCCAAUAGCUCCAAAUAUCCUGAAAGCAACACAAAUAUGCAACAUGCAUGCAAAACUAUCCUAAACAUGCAAAGUGAUGACAAAUGAUGAGAAAUAAUAUAAAAAAAUGGUAAUAUGAUGCAAUAGUGAUAACAAAUGGAUGCUCAAAACAUGUAAAAUGCACACUUAUCAAGUAGAAGAGCUAGAACCGCAACCGGAUUUUGAAAACCCAAGUAGUGUUUCCUUGUUAGAAGAUACAAAGCCCAAGACUCAUACGGACUUCGGUUACACCAUUAAAGCUUUGAGAAGCAAGAAGAAGUUUGGUUUGUGUUUUUCAGUCAAAUAUGACCAGAUGUCAUUUGUAUGAUUGAGUAUAAGAACUCAAACCACAGCCGGAUCUUGAAAGCCCAAAUAGUGUUUCCUUGAUAGAAGAUACAAAGCCAAAUUCUCAUACGAACGUCGGCUACACCAUCAAUGCUUUGAGAAGCAAGAAGAAGCUUGGUUAGUGUUUUGGAGUCAAAUAUGACUUUAUGUCAUGUGUAUGUUUAAGUAUUAGAACUUAAACUACAAACGGAUCCCAAAAGCAAAAUUAGUUUUUCCAUGCUAGAAGAUACAAAGCAAAAUAUUCAUACUGACUUCGACAUCACCAUUAAAGCCUUAGGGAGCAUGAAGAAGCUUGGUUGGUGUUUUGAAGUCAAAUAUGACUUGAUGGCAUGUGUAUGAUUGAGUAUAGGAACUCAACCACAACCGGAUCUUGAAAGCCCAAGUAGUGUUUCCUUUUUAGAAGGUACAAAGACAAAGACUCAUACGGACUUUGGGUACACCAUCAAAACUUUGAGAAGCAAGAAGAAGCUUGGUUAAUGUUUUGGAAUCAAAUAUGACUUGAUGUCAUGUGUAUGAUGGAGUAUAAGGACGAGAAUUGCAACCGGAUCUUAAAAGCCUAAGUAGUGUUUCCUUGUUAGAAGAUACAAAGCCAAUGAAUCAUACGGACUUUCGCUACACCAUCAAAGCUUUGUGAAGCAAGAAGAAGCUUAGUUAGUAUUUUAGAGUCAAAUAUGACUUGAUGUCAUGUGUAUGAUUGAGUAUACGAACUAGAACCUUAACUGGAUCUUAAAACCCAAAGUAGUGUUUCCUUGUUAGAAGAUACAAAGCAAAAGACGCAUGUGGACUUUGGUAACACUAUUAAAGCAUUGAGAAUCAAGAAGAAGCUUGGUUAGUAUUUUGGUGUCAAAUAUGACUAGAUUUCAUGUGUAUGAUUUGAGUAUAAGAACUAGAACUGCAACCCGAUCUUUAAAGCCUAAGUAGUGUUUCCUUGUUAGAAGAUACAAAGCCAAAGACUCAUACGGACUUCAGCUACACCAACAAAGUUUCGAGAAGCAAGAAGAAGCUUGGUUAGUGUUUUGGAGUCAAAUAUGACUUGAUGUCAUGUGUAUGAUUGGGUAUAAGAAUUAUAACCGCAACCGGAUCUUAAAACCUAAGUAGUAUUUAUUUUUUAGAAGAUACAAAGCCAAACAUUCAUACGGGCUUUGGUUACACCAUUAAAGCUUUGAGAAGCAAGAAGAAGCUUGAUUAUUGUUUUAGAGUCAAAUAUGCCUAGAUGGCAUGUGUAUGAUUGAGUACAAGAACUCGAACCACAACUGGAUCUUGAAAGCCAAAGUAGUGUUUCCUUGUUAGAAGAUGCAACGCCAAUUACUCAUACGGACUUCGGCUACACCGUCAAAGCUUUGAGAAGCAAGAAGAAUCUUGGUUUGUGUUUUGGAGUUAAAUAUAAAGUGAUGUGAUGUCUAUGGUUGAAUAUUAGAACUUGAACCGCAAACGGAUCCAAAAAGGAAAAGUAGUGUUUCCAUGCCAGAAAAUACAAAGCCAAAGACUCAUACGGACUUCGACAUCACCAUCAAAGCCUUAGGAAGCCAGAAGAGGCUUGGUUAGUUUUUUGGAGUCAAAUAUGACUAUGAUUGAGUAUAAGAAUUCAAACUGCAACCGGAUCUUGAAUGCCGAAGUAGUGUUUCUUUUUUAGAAGAUACAAAGCCAAAUACUCAUACGGACUUUGGCUACACCAUCGAGAAGCAAGAAGAAGCUUGGUUAGUGUUUUGGAGUCAAAUAUGAAUUGAUGUCCUGUGUAUGAUUAAGUAUAAGACCUAGAUUGGCAACCAGAUCUUGAAAGCCUAAAUAGUGUUUCCUUGUUAGAACAUACAAAGCCAAUGAUUCAUACGGACUUCAUCUACACUAUCAAAGCUUUGGGAAGUAAGAAGAGGCUUAGUUAGUGUUUUAGAGUCAAAUAUGACUUGAUGUAAUGUAUAUGAUUGAGUAUAAGAACUAGAACCACUACCAGAUCUUAAAAGCCUAAGUAGUGUUUCCUUGUUAGAAGAUACAAACCAAAGACUCAUACAGAUUUUGAUUACACCAUUAAAACUUUAAGAAGCAAGAAGAAUCUUGGUUAGUGUUUUGGAGUCAAAUAUGUCCAGACGACAUGUGUAUGAUUUAGUAUAAGAACUCGAACUACAACCUAAUCUUGAAAGCCCAAAUAGUGUUUCCUUGUUAGAACAUACAAAGCCAAUGACUCAUACGAAUUUCAGCUACACUAUCAAAGCUUUGAGAAGCAAGAAGAGGCUUAGUUAGUGUUUUAGAGUCAAAUAUGACUUGAUGUCAUGUGUAUGGUUAAGUAUUUGGACUAGAAAUGGAAACUGAUAUGUCUAUAAUUUGCAUGUUUUCAGUGUCCAUUCAUCAUCGUUUUGAGUCCAGUUUCGUAUCAUUCAUCACUGUUUUAUAUCAUUUCUUAUCAUUCUUGCAUACUUUGCAUGAUUAGGAUAGCUUUGCAUACAUAUUGCAUUUAUGAGUUGUUUUAGGUGAUUUGGAGCUGUUUGCGAGCAAAUUGGAAGAAACGAGCCGGAACCAGAAGACAUACUCGACCCCCAGGUCGAGUGACUUCGGAGCCAUUCUUCCCACCUACUCGACCACUUGACAACACUCGACCGUUCACUCUACCACAUCACUCGACCCCAUGGUCGAGUAUCACUUCGCCACACCACCUUACAACACUCGACCGUUCACUCUACCACAUCACUCGACCCCAUGGUCGAGUAUCACUUCGCCACACCAUCACCAUCACUCGACCGGACACUCGAUCACGUCUUCACAGUCUACUCAAAUCCGCACUCAACCAGACAAGCUGAGCACAAGGAAGAGAAGAGGAGAAGACAAAGUGUUUGGAAGCGGCCUGGACCUCCAUCGGAUCACGAAGCCCGUCUCGGCCCAUUAUCUUUCUAUGGGCCGGGUAAUUAGGUUAUUGGCCCGUUUACCAUCAUUUUAUUUUGUUUUGUAUAAAUAGAUGUCUUAGGGUUCUGUCCUGAGACAUCCAGUCGACAUUGAGUUUUUGCUUCAGUUUUAUUUUCUGUUUUACUCUGCUGCGCCGCUUUUGCUUCUGCAACCUGUAAUUCGAGAUUUUUCCAAGUUAUUCAGAUUCCGCAUUUGAUUUCAUCUGUCAUCUUGUUUCUAUACUCUUUAUCUCUUUACUUAUGCAAUAUUAUCGUUUACCUGCGUUUAUGUCUUUAAGCAUUUUGUCUGAGUAGUGACUUAGAAUUCUUAGGGAUGGGAUAGAGUAGUUGUGGAAUCCGUAGUCUGUAGAAUGGUUAAGUUUUAGAAUUGAUUGAAUCCCUUCAGGACUAGUUGCGUUUACUGCUUAUUUCUUUAUGAUCAACUGGAAUUCAACCCAAGCAUUCCCGCACCCAGAAGGUGUUCGAUGGAAUGUUCGAUCGACUAGUUCCUGAGAUAUUCGUCUCUAUCCCAAGGGAUUGGCCGAUUAGAGCGUUUAUUGACUUUAUAAGUCUGUUCUUAUUGCCUGCAUAGUUAGAUUCCGUUAAUGGGAAUUAGUCUGGGCUAGCUUUGCUUGAGGAUUUCUAUCACGGGAGUGAAUUAAUCUGUUGUUGAACCUGUUGUCUAGGGAUAGCUUGAUUGCGCUUGUUAACCAUUCGAAUAGGCUAGGAUACCACUCUACUCGAUUACCCUAUCCUUAGGAAUUUCUCGUCUAUCUUAUUUCUCUGUUUUAUUGUUAUCGCUUAAUCGUUGUCAUUGCCUGUUUCUUAGUUUUUGCAAUUACUCGACCAACUUACUCGACCACACCCAGUGUCUGGCAACAGACUGUGCAGUCGAGUGCAGUUGUUUCAUUUCCUGUCUGUUACUCGACCAGUAUACUCGACCACACCCAGUGUCUAGCAACAGACUGUGCAGUCGAGUAUAUCUGUUUCAUAUCCUGCCUGUUACUCGACCACAUCCUACUCCUGGCAUUAGCCUGUUGUGGUCGAGUGAUUUUAGUAAUUCUGUUAUUCUUUCUGUUUUCUGCAUGUUCACUUAGGACUGUUAGAAACCCCAAAACUGUUAUUGCUUGGCUUGACUUAGUGACUUCUGAUCACAUCUCAUUUGUCUGCAUCACACCCAUUUGGAUUGACACCUAAAAUACUACAAUGACAUGAUAGGUGUUUUAGGAUAAUUGACCAUAAAAACCUAUUAUCAAUUUGGCGCUGUUAUCUUUUUCAUUUUUUCUGAAAGUUACUAACUUUGUGUUUUUUCUGUUUGUCUGUUUUGAUUUAGGUACUACGAUACCAGCUUUACAAGUUGGUACUCGUUGUAUGCAAAUACGGUCACGAGGAAAUCAGAAUCUCCUGUUCAACGAUAACAUCGACCGUAUUGCACGCCAACUCAGAACACAGACAGAAACAGAGACAAUGGCUGCAGUUGUUGAUGAGCAGGUGCAACCAAACAACAUAGGUGCAGGCGAUGCACCACGCAACCAGAAUCAGCGUAAUGGCAUCGUGCCUCCACCUGUGCAGAACAACAACUUUGAGAUCAAGAGCGGUCUCAUUGCCAUGGUUCAGAGCAACAAGUUCCACGGCCUCCCUAUGGAGGAUCCACUCGAUCACCUGGACGAGUUUGAUAGGCUCUACAGCCUAACAAAGAUCAAUGGAGUUAGUGAGGAUGGUUUCAAGCUCAGAUUGUUUCCAUUCUCUCUUGGAGACAAAGCACAUCAGUGGGAAAAGUCACUUCCUCAAGGCUCUAUCACCUCCUGGAAUGACUGCAAGAAAGCCUUCUUGGCUAAGUUUUUCUCAAACUCCAGGACUGCGAGACUAAGGAAUGAUAUCUCCAGUUUCACUCAAACGAAUAAUGAGACUUUCUGUGAAGCAUGGGAGCGCUUCAAAGGUUAUCAGACGCAAUGUCCUCAUCAUGGUUUCUCCAAAGCUUCACUUCUCAGCACUCUCUAUAGAGGUGUCCUUCCCAAGAUCAGAAUGCUUCUUGAUACCGCUUCCAACGGGAACUUCCUCAACAAAGACGUUGAAGAAGGAUGAGAGCUGGUAGAGAACUUAGCUCAGUCGGAUGGCAACUAUAAUGAAGAUUAUGACAGAAGCAUCCGCACCAGCUCUGAUUCUGAUGAGAAGCACCGCAGGGAAAUGAAAGCCAUGAAUGACAAACUGGACAAGCUACUCCUUGUGCAACAAAAGCACAUUCAUUUUCUGGGUGAUGAUGAGACAGUCCAAGUGCAGAACCAAGGAGGUCAGCUAUGUGCAGAACCAAGGAGGUUACAACAAAGGUUUCAACAACUUCAAGCAGAGCCAUCCAAAUCUGUCUUACAGGAGUACAAAUGUUGCAAACCCGCAUGACCAAGUCUACCCUUCACAGCAGCAAAAUCAACCCAAGCCCUUUGUUCAUACAACCAAGGUCAGGGGUAUGUUCCUAAGCCGCAGUAUCAGGGCAACUAUCAGCAGCAACUUCCACCACCUAGGUUCACACACCAGCAACAACAACUAGCUUCAACAACUCCAGAUUCAGACUUGAAGAACAUGUUACAGCAGAUUCUCUAGGGACAAGCUGCAGGUGCAAUGGAUCUUGCCAAAAAGAUGGCAAAAAUCCACAACAAGGUUGAUUGUACUUUCAAUGAUCUGAAUAUCAAACUUGAGGCACUUACCUCUAAGGUCAGAUACAUGGAAGGACAAACAGCGUCAACUUCUGCUCCAAAAGUAACAGGACUUCCAGGAAAGUCAAUACAGAACCCGAAGGAAUACGCCACCGCUCACGCUAUCACCAUCUGUCAUGAUCGAGAGCUGCCUACUCGACAUGUUUCCACAUCAAUCACCGAGGACAGUGAUGUUCAGGACGGGGAGGCUUCUACUCAGAUUGAAAUUUCAGUGGUUGGACUCGACCAUUCAGCUGGAUCCCGUUUUCAAACCGAGUCCAACCUAGACGAGAAAGCAGCCAUCAUUGAGAGGAUGGUAAAACGAUUCAAGCCAGCACCAUUACCUUCACGUGCUCUUCCAUAGAAAAUUCAGGAAAGCAUGUAUAGAAAGAUACAAUUCUCUUGCAGAGAAGCAGCUUGAUGAGAUGGAAACGGCUUGAUGAGAUGGAAGCGGUGAUGCCUCUAAUAGAAGUUCUCAACCUAAUCCCGGAUCCUCACAAAGAUGUGAGAAAGUCAAUUCUGGAAAGGAUCAAGAUUCAUCAAGAUUCAGAAGACGAAUGUGAUGCUAUUCCGUUUAGGACCACUGCUAAGAGGAGUGUUCAAGAAAAACAGGAAGAUCCAGGAACUUUCACUCUACCAUGUUUCAUUGGUCAAUUGGUUUUCAGCCAUUGUCUUUGUGAUUUGGGAGCUUCAGUAAGCUUAAUGCCACUCUCCGUGGCAAGGAAGCUGGAAUUCACUCAGUACAGGCCUUGCGACCUGACUUUGAUCCUUGCUGAUAGGUCUUCAAGAAAACCCUUUGACCUUCUACAAGAUCUGCCAGUAAUGAUUAAUGGAGUGGAAGUGCCUACGGAUUUCGUUGUUCUUGAUAUGGAAGCAGAACCUAAGGAUCCUCUAAUCCUAGGAAGACCUUUCUUAGCCUCAGUGGAAGCGAUGAUAGAUGUCAGAGAUGGGAGAAUAAGUCUUAACCUUGGGAAGCACAUCAAGAUGCAGUUUGACAUCAACGAAACUUCGCAAAGGUCAGCUGUAGAAGAAAAGAUCAGGGCUCAACCUCAACGUUCGAAUUCAAUCACCAGACCAAGCACAGCCUCUACACCUAACUUGCGAGAUCUCAAAAAGAAAUCUGAUGAGCAAGAAGAGACCAUAGAGAAGCUAGCUCAGACAGUUGAGGAACUUAAGAGUAAACUGGAUCAUAUGCAAGAGAUAGCUCAAUCCAAAUGCGGGAAUAACACUAUCCCGAGAAAAAAGAUUACUUCAAGAUGGUCUAAGGAGAUAGAUUAUCCACCAGAAGAGAAAGAGGCCUAUUUCGAGGAAAGAAGAAUUGAGUAUUCUGCUACUCAUCUCUCAAGAGAGGAUGCUGAAUAUGAUGAUGAGAUCAGAGAGGACUAUGAAGAUCCUCUCUAUCACCCAUUUUCUUCUUAAUGAGUGUGAGGAGUCAAGCUAGAGACUUUAAACAAGCUCACUUGGGAGGAAUUCCCAAGACUGUUUCUGUAAAUAAAACUUUUAUUUUCUUGUUAUUUUUGAUUUGUUUUUGGUUGUGUUUGUGAUUCUCAGGAACAGAGAAACAGCGUGGAGGUAGAGUAAAAAUUUAAAAAUUUUACUCUACAGAGCAACAGGAGAACGAGUAUGUCAGAAAUUCAAGAGUUUGAAAAACUUUUGUUGCACUAAGAGGCCAUGAGGUCGAGUAAGUUUGGUCGAGUAUUAGUGAUGAUUUUAAAAAAACCCAAAAUUUUUAAAUCAUAUCUAUACUCGACCAACAGAAGCUACAGAGACUUGCAGGGAGUUUAACAAGUUUACAGAGGAUUACAGAAGGUUCUAGUCAACAGAGAACAGCGCUUCAGGACAAACAGACAGAGCGUGGCCAACCACCUCUCACCUUUGUUCCCCCACGCGUUUUUAGAGAUAACAAAAUCUCUUCCCUCUUUCCCAACCACUCGAUCUCACUCUAUCCCUAUCCUCUCCCACCGACAUCAUCUCUCUCCCUCUCCAAACACUCGACCAAGAAGAUUCACUCUACCUCACGUUUCUCACUCGACCAAACCUCACCAUCUCUCUUCCUCUCCAAGCACUUGACCGCACCAUCACACUCGACCUCACCGUUCACUCGAUCUCUCCCCUCCGGCUUCACCAUCUCUCGCUGCUUUGUCACCCUCUCACUCGACCAAACCUCACUCGUCAUCUCUCGCACCGCCUCCCAUUUACUCGAUUGCAACGCCCUCCUCUCCAUCCGCCGCUUUCUCGACCUCGUCGUCCCAGCUCUCACUGCUCACGCCUCCGCCCUCUCUCUCUCAUUCACUCGACGACGGGACAGGUUUCAUCUUCACUCAACCGCUACUCGACUUCUUUCACUCGACCGCAUCGCAAUUUGGACAAAGAGGCUCUUCAUUCGAUUUUCGAUAAACGGCCAGAGUUUCUCUCUCUCGUUCUCGCAAGCUAACUCGACUUCGCCGGAGCUUCUCGUCGUUCACUCGACCACUCCGCCCUUCACUCCGCCGGACUCUCACCGUCGCCUCCUUUUCACUCGAUCUCGCCGCUCCAACUUCAACAUUCCUCACUCGAUCUCGCCUCCCAUUCACUCGACCGCAAGAGCACCUCAGCCUCUACUUCGAUCUCUUUCUCUCAACUCUCCGUUCUCACCGUUCACUCGACCUCGCCAUUCACUUCGCCUCCGUUCAUCUCUUCACUCGACCGCUCCUCAAACCGCCACCGUCUUCUCUCCAUUCGACAUUUACUCGGCCACACAGUCACCGUUUCUCAUUCUCUUCCACUCGACCACAAAAUUUGAACACACAAUUUGACUAUACUCGACCGGUUACUCGACCGUGAACUUGAUUGGUUUAGUGUUUGUGUUUAUUUGGACUAACAUAUUGAUAUUUGGUUUUAAGUUACAUUAUUUUUCAGGAAAUCAAUAUGAGUAACUACAGUGGCGAAUCCUCCAUGGAUGCAGAUUACAACGUCGAUGAAGCUGAAUCUUGGUCAACUGGACCAGAGAGAGAGCGACAGGCUUAUGAGAGCUUUAGAGCUGAGACCCAACGCUCAGUAGCUCGACGCAAUGAGAAGAGAGCUGAGAUUGCUAGAGAAAGAGAGCAAUGACCAGCAGAUAUGAGUUGAUCGACGAAGAUAUUGACGUCGAGUAUGAGCCUGAGUCAUGGCACAGAGAAACGAAGCUGUUGAACAAGCCUGAUGAACGACUUCUGGGGAACGAGGUACCCCUGUUAUGAGACUUUAGCAUAGCUGGGGCUACUGGAGGACGUACAUCACUUAUUCGAGAAGUGCCAUCUGGAGACGCUGAUGUCUUACCCGUACGUCGCUUACAAGAAGGAAACAAUAGAGUUUCUCUUCACUCUGCAAGUGGAGAUGUAUCAGGGACUUACAGCAGAUGAGCUGGAGAGUGAAGGGUUGGGGUUCUUGACUUUUUCAGUGAACGAGCAGCGUUACCAGCUAUCUAUCAAGAGCUUGGAAGGAUUAUUUGGUUUUCCCAGUGGAAAGGGAACUAAACCCAAGUUCGAGAGGGAAGAGUUGAAGGAUUUGUGGUUAACCAUUGGGAACGAUUUGGCGCUCAACUUUGCAAGGUCUAAGAGCAACCAGAUUCGUAGCCCUGUGAUCCGCUACUAUCAGCGCUCAGUAGCGAAUGUUCUGUACCCCAGGGAAUCUACAGGCACCGUGUUUAACACAGACAUGGAGAUGAUUGAUUCUCCACUCAAGGGCAUUCUCCGGAGAACAAAGGGGAAGAAGGUCCUAAAGGGCGACCUUAAUGAUGCACCACCGGUUAUGCUUCUGUUGAUCCACCUAUGUGGAUACAGGAAGUGGGCGCACACCAACGGGAAGAAGAAGGUGCGAGGAGCCCUUUGUGUAGGUGGCGUUGUGACACCGAUUCUGAUUGCAUGUGGUGUACCUCUCACGUCUCCAAGGUUUGAUCCGAGGAUGAUGGAUUUAGAUCACUUGCGUUGUUGUGAGUUUCUGGAGUAUGAUAUGGUUGGCGAUUUCUAUCGCUACAAAUUCGAGCACUCCCUGAUCCGAACAGCCAACAUUUUGCUUCCCUGCAUCGAGGCCACGACCAUACUUCAGGGUAGGAACAUUGACUUCAAACCUGCACGUGAUUACCUCUACUUUGAGAGCGCUCCACCGACUGAUGAUAAUGUCCCUACGACGGAAGCUAUAGAGGAUGAUAUUGCUGAGACGGAUGAGGAUAGGGAGGAGGAGUACGAUACGAGCAUGUAUCAUUUCAGAGAGCACGUACCUCCAGCGCGGGAGAGCAAGAGCUUGAGUGAAGCUCACAGAAACAACAGUAAGUUGCAGAGGUGGUGCAAGAAACAAGAUAGGCUACUCAUCAAGUGCUUCAAAGCCAUCACGUUUCUGACAGACAAGCUUAGCUGCUUCUCUUCUACCACAGCUAUUCCGCAGGGAGAGCGUCCUCAGGACAUGCCUUCGAGGAGAUAUGACGCGCCAGGGCCAAGUCAUCACAGGCCUGAGCCAAGUCACCACAAGCCUGAGCCUAGUGACCGAGUAGUCCCACCAGUCCCUGCAAGGCAUUCAUCAUUCGAGCCUCGGGAGCUCGGGAGAAAGAAGAAGGCUGCACUCGCUCGGUCUGGCAGCAGGAGUACACGACUUCUCCAGUCCCGUAGCUUACGCGACCGCGGUGCUGGCCGCAGCAGAAGAAGAGAGGUCGAGUAUCAUCAGAGCGGUGCUGGCCGCGACGAAGGAGCAGAGGUCGAGUACCCCCAGGGGGAAGCUGAGACACAGCAGGGAGAUUCUUCGAUGGCCUGGGAGCAAUCACAGGCAGCUAUUGGCGACCAACUUCGCUCCUUCUUCCACUGAGGUAUGCACCUCACUCCACCAUUGUAAUAUACCAUCUCUUGUUUUUAUUUUGUUUUUGUGAUGUGUUUUGUCCUAAGUACUCUCUUCCAAAUUUGGUCACACAGUGGACUGUGUGAUUUAAGUUUGGGGGAGGGCUCAGAAAGUGUGUAUUGCAUUGUAUAUAAUCUUGAGUCUGCAUUCAUCUAAGGCAUAGAAAAGAACCAAAAAAAUUGAAAAAUUUCAGAAAAUGAUUUCACAAAAAUAGAGUGUUCAUGUAGUUGCAUUGCAUUUAGGAUCGAGUCUAGAGUGUUUCGUUUAGGAUUGUUGCAUAUGCAUAGGGGAUAAUGAUGAGAUAGCCUUGUAAGCAUUUUGGUUCACCAGAUAAGCUCAGUGCCCUCGUUGUUAGUUGUUUGAUGCGUUGUCAUUGAAAUUGAAGUAAAACUGCACCAUGCCUAGAUUGCUCUACUCGACCACACUGUUAGGAUCUGAUAUCAUUCCCUAUCAAUUUGAACUUGAAUCUGAUUUAGAAUUAUCAUGUCUUGGCAUCGAAUUUGAACUCAUGGAUACCCUAAAAUACUUGGAUUUUCUUACUCCUUUUAACCACUCUUGUUGAUCCAAAUAGCUGACUCUCCUUAUUAGAGCAGUUAACCCGAACCCAAACAUGAACUUUCUUUCAAGCCCUAUAUCACUUGUGAGUGUUUGUGAGGUCUUAUUUCGAUUGAGCUUGGUAAAAAGUGUUAGCUUCGUAACGACAGAGAUAGUGUCUCAUGUAGUUCUAGUUCGCGUUCUUCGGACUGGAUAGGACUAGGUGGGCGCUUAUAUCAUGGGUUGGGAUGUCUUUAAAAGAAAAGGGUGAAUUUAUUGUUGAUAAGGAAAGGGAAAGAAUUCUAGGGGAAGUAAGCUAAAGAAGUUAGAAAAAAAUCUAGUAAAGGUUUUGGGAAUGUUAAAGAAAAGAAUGAGGUUCUUGUUAGCUAAAGAAGAAGGGUUAAAAGCCUUUGGUUUUAAAGAUUUAAAACAGGAACCUUAGUUGUUAAAGAAAUCCAAAUCCGCUAGAUGUAUCAGAGUGUUGAGAAAGCUUCUCCUAGAGUUAAGAGAAAAUAAAAGAAUGAUAUGAAAAAGAGUUUGAAAGAUUCAUGAGUGCAAAUGGUAGAGUUAAGUUGGGACAGGAGUUGGGAUUACCAUUAGAACUUCAUUGCUAUACUCUGGGUAGAUGGGAUCUUAUCUCUGUAUGCAUAACUUGGGACUUACCUUUAGCAUUCUACUAAAGCUCAAUCAUUCUUGAGGGAUCCCCUGUUACUUAAGCCUAUUCUGUAAGGGACCAUCUUUGUCUCUUGACCUUCACCUUAGCCAAAUGAGUUCAUUGAUGAUGCAUUGCUUGAUUCACGUUCCAGAACUAAUGAAUGUUAAAGGGAUUGGUAGAUUUGAAAGCAUGUGUAGGUCGAGUAUAAGAGACGGAUUGAUUGAUAACAAGGCAUGGCUAACGUUUUUGAGUAAAAUUCAAUCAUAUCGCAUCUUAGAACUACCAAUUUGGACAUUGAUUUUAUUUGCUCUAACAUAUGCUUUGGUUCUGAGUCCCCGCCUUCAAACCUCUCCUUCAACUAUGUCUUCUUAUUUGCUUGAGGGCAAGCAAAGACUAAGUUUGGGGGAGUUGAUAUGUCUAUAAUUUGCAUGUUUUCAGUGUCCAUUCAUCAUCGUUUUGAGUCCAGUUUCGUAUCAUUCAUCACUAUUUUAUAUCAUUUCUCAUCAUUCUUGCAUACUUUGCAUGAUUAGGAUAACUUUGCAUACAUAUUGCAUUUCUGAGUUGUUUUCAGGUGAUUUGGAGCUGUUUGCGAGCAAAUUGGAAGAAACGAGCCAGAACCAGAAGACAUACUCGACCCCCAGGUCGAGUGACUUUGGAGUCAUUCUUCCCACCUACUCGACCACUUGGUCGAGUAUCCUCAGCUCAGGCUACUCAAUGACACUACUCGAUCCCCUGGUCGAGUAUCACUUCGCCACACCACCUGACAACACUCGACCGUUCACUCUACCACAUCACUCGACCCCAUGGUCGAGUAUCACUUCGCCACACCACCUGACAACACUCGACCGUUCACUCUACCACAUCACUCGACCCCAUGGUCGAGUAUCACUUCGCCACACCAUCACCAUCACUCGACCGGACACUCGAUCACGUCUUCACAGUCUACUCAAAUCCGCACUCAACCAGACAAGCUGAGCACAAGGAAGAGAAGAGGAGAAGACAAAGUGUUUAGAAGCGGCUUGGACCUCCAUCGGAUCACGAAGCCCAUCUCGGCCCAUUAUCUUUCUAUGGGCCGGGUAAUUAGGUUAUUGGCCUGUUUACCAUCAUUUUAUUUUGUUUUGUAUUAAUAGAUGUCUUAGGGUUCUGUCCUGAGACAUCCAGUCGACAUUGAGUUUUUGCUUCAGUUUUAUUUCUGUUUUACUUUGCUGCGCCGCUUUUGCUUCUACAACCUGUAAUUCGAGACUUUUCCAAGUUAUUCAGAUUCCGCUUUUGAUUUCAUCUGUCAUCUUGUUUCUAUACUCUUUAUCUCUUUACUUAUGCAAUAUUAUCGUUUACCUGCGUUUAUGUCUUUAAGCAUGUUGUCUGAGUAGUGACUUAGAAUUAUUAGGGAUGGGAUAGAGUAGUUGUGGAAUCCGUAGUCUGUAGAAUGGUUAAGUUUUAGAAUUGAUUGUAUCCCUUUAGAACUAGUUGUGUUUACUGCUUAUUUUUUUCUGAUCAACUGGAAUUCGAUCCCAAGCAUUCCCGCACCCAGAAGGUGUUCGAUGGAAUGCUUGAUCCACUAGUUCCUGAGAUAUGCGUCUCUAUCCCAAGGGAUUGGCCGUUUAGAGCGUUUAUUGACUUUAUCAGUCUGUUCUUAUUGCUUGCAUAGUUAGAUUCCGUUAAUGGGAAUUAGUCUAGGCUAGCUUUGCUUGAGGAUUUCUAUCACGGGAGUGAAUUAAUCUGUUGUUGAACCUGUUGUCUAGGGAUAGCUUGAUUGCGCUUGUUAACCAUUCUAAUAGGCUAGGAUACCACUCUACUCGAUUACCCCAUCCUUAGGAGUUUCUUGUCUAUCUUAUUUCUCUGUUUUAUCGUUAUCGCUUAAUCGUUCUCAUUGCCUGUUUCUUAGUUUUUGUAAUUACUCGACCAACAUACUCGACCACACCCAGUGUCUGGCAACAGACUGUGCAGUGGAGUGCAGUUGUUUCAUUUCCUGUUUGUUACUCGACCAGUAUACUCGACCACACCUAGUGUCUGGCAACAGACUGUGCAGUCGAGUAUAUCUGUUUCAUAUCCUGCCUGUUACUCGACCACAUCCUACUCCUGGCAUCAGCCUGUUGUGGUCGAGUGAUUUUAGUAAUUCUGUUAUUGUUUCUGUUUUCUACAUGUUCACUUAGGACUGUUAGAAACCCCAAAACCGUUAUUGAUUGGCUUGACUUAGUGACUUCUCAUCACAUCUCAUUUGUCUGCAUCACACCCAUUUGGAUUGACACCUAAAAUACUACAAUGACAUGAUUGGUGUUUUAGGAUAAUUGACCAUAAAAACCUAUUAUCAGAAACUUAUCCCAAAAUUUAAAGUAGUGUUUCCAUGCUAGAAGAUACAAAGCAAAAGAUUCAUAAGGACUUCGACAUCACCAUCAAAGCCUUAGGAAGCAUGAAGAAGCUUGGUUAUUGUUUUGGAGACAAAUAUGACUAGAUGACAUGUGUAUGAUUGAGUAUAAGAACUCGAACCGCAACCGGAUCUUGAAAGUCCAAGUAGUGUUUCCUUAUUAGAAGGUACAAAGACAAAGACUCAUACGGACUUUGGGUACACCAUCAAAACUUUGGGAAGCAAGAAGAAGCCUGGUUAUUGUUUUGGAGUCAAAUAUGACUUGAUGUCAUGUGUAUGAUGGAGUAUCAGGACAAGAAUUGCAAUCGGAUCUUUAAAGCCUAAGUAGUGUUUCCUUGUUAGAAGAUACAAGCCAAUGAAUCAUACGGACUUUAGCUACACCAUCAAAGCUUUGUGAAGCAAGAAGAAGCUUAGUUAGUGUUUUAGAGUCAAAUAUGACUUGAUGUCAUGUGUAUGAUUGAGUAUACGAACUAGAACCACAACCGGAUCUUAAAACCCAAAUUAGUGUUUCCUUGUUAGAAGAUACAAAGCUAAAGACUCAUGUGGACUUUGGUAAUACUAUUAAAGCGUUGAGAAUCAAUAAGAAGCUUGGUUAGUGUUUUGGAGUCAAAUAUGACUAGAUGUCAUGUGUAUGAUUGAGUAUAAAAACUGGAACUGCAACCCGAUCUUAAAACCUAGUUAGUGUUUCCCUUUUAGAAGAUACAAAGCCAAAGACUCAUACGGACUUCAGCUACACCAACAAAGCUUUGAGAAGCAAGAAGAAACUUGGUUAGUGUUUUCGAGUCAAAUAUGACUUGAUGUCAUGUGUAUGAUUGGGUAUAAGAACUAGAACCGCAACCGGAUCUUAAAAGCCUAAGUAGUAUUUAGAAGAUACAAAGCCAAACAUUCAUACGGACUUUGGUUACACCAUUAAAGCUUUGUGAAGCAAGAAGAAGCUUUGUUAGUGUUUUGGAGUCAAAUAUGACUAGAUGUCAUGUGUAUGAUUGAGUAUAAAAACUGGAACUGCAACCCGAUCUUAAAAGCCUAGUUAGUGUUUCCUUGUUAGAAGAUACAAAUCCAAAAACUCAUACGGACUUCAGCUACACCAACAAAGCUUUGCGAAGCAAGAAGAAACUUGGUUAGUGUUUUCGAGUCAAAUAUGACUUGAUGUCAUGUGUAUGAUUGGGUAUAAGAACUAGAACCGCAACCGGAUCUUAAAAGCCUAAGUAGUAUUUGUUUUUUAGAAGAUACAAAGCCAAACAUUCAUACGGACUUUGGUUACACCAUUAAAGCUUUGAGAAGCAAGAAAAAGCUUGGUUAUUGUUUUGGAGUCAAAUAUGCCUAGAUGUCAUGUGUAUGAUUGAGUACAAGAACUCGAACCGCAACUGGAUCUUGAAAGCCCAAGUAGUGUUUCCUUGUUAGAAGAUACAACGCCAAUGACUCAUACGGAUUUCGGCUACACCAUCAAAUCUUUGAGAAGGAACAAGAAUCUUGGUUUGUGUUUUGGAGUUAGAUAUAAAUUGAUGUCAUGUCUAUGGUUGAGUAUUAGAACUUGAACCGCAAACGGAUCCGAAAAGGAAAAGUAGAGUUUCCAUGCGAGAAGAUACAAAGCCAAAGACUCAUACGGACUUCGACAUCACCAUCAACGCCUUAGGAAGCCAGAAGAAGCUUGGUUAGCUUUUUGGAGUCAAAUAUGACUAGAUGACAUGUGUAUGAUUGAGUAUAAAAACUCAAAUCGCAACCGGAUCUUGAAAGCCCAACUAGUGUUUGUUUGUUAGAAGAUACAAAGCCAAAUACUCAUACGGACUUUGGCUACACUAUCAAAGCUUUGAAAAGCAAGAAGAGGCUUAGUUAGUGUUUUAGAGUCAAAUAUGACUUGAUGUCAUGUGUAUUAUUGAGUAUAAGAACUAGAACCACAACCGGAUCUUAAAAGCCUAAGUAGUGUUUCCUUGUUAGAAGAUACAAAGCCAAUAAAUCAUGCGGACUUUAGCUACACCAUCAAAGCUUUGUGAAGCAAGAAGAAGCUUAGUUAGUGUUUUAGAGUCAAAUAUGACUUGAUGUCAUGUGUAUGAUUGAGUAUAACUAGAACCACAACCGGAUCUUAAAACCCAAAGUAGUGUUUCUUUGUUAGAAGAUACAAAGCUAAAGAUUGUUGUGGACUUUGGUAACACUAUUAAAGCGUUGGGAAUCAAGAAGAAGCUUGGUUAGUGUUUUGGAGUCAAAUAUGACUAGAUUUCAUGUGUAUGAUUGAGUAUAAAAACUAGAACUGUAACCCGAUCUUAAAAUCCUAAGUAGUGUUUCCUUGUUAGAAGAUACAAAGCCAAAGACUCAUACGGACUUCAGCUACACCAACAAUGCUUUGAGAAGAAAGAAGAAGCUUGGUUAGUUUUUUGGAAUCAAAUAUGACUUGAUUUCAUGUUUUUGAUUGGGUAUAAGAAGUAGAACCGCAACCGGAUCUUAAAAGCCUAAGUAGUAUUUCUUUUUUAGAAGAUACUCUAGUUUAGAGAUGUGUUUCUAGUUUAGAGAUGUGUUUAAGAACUCAAAGUAAAGAAUAACUCUCUUUAAUCUCUUUAGGAAAAUUACUCAAAACCUAAAGCUAUUGAUCUCUUCACAAUCUCUAAAAACCCAUAAGGUUAACCACAACUUGGUAACUCUUAUAUAGAGAUCAAUAGAUAAUUCUAGAAUAAACAUUUAGAUUAAUAUUAGAUAACUCCUAAUAAUAUCUUUAGGUAAUGAUAUGUCUAUAAUUUGCAUGUUUUACACAUCUUUUUAUCACCAUUUUGAGUCUAGUUUCAUCCAUCUUUCAUAGCAUUUGAUAAUAGGUUUUUAAUUAAUUAAACCUAAAGCACUAUCAUGUCGUUGUAAUACUGAAGGUUGUCAAUCCAAAUGGGUGUGAUGCUAACAAUCAAGAUGUGAUCAGAAGUCACUAAGUCAAGCCAAGCAAUAACAGGUUGUGGUGUGUUCUAGCAGUUCUAAGUGAACAUGGAGAAAAUAGAAAUUCAAGCAGAAACAGUAAAACACUCGACCAACACAGCUCUUUGCAGAGCACUGGGUGAGGUCGAGUGACAGGUCGAGUAACAGACAGAAAAUAAAAUACAGAUACUCGACUGCACAGUCUGUUACCAGACAAUUGGGUGGUCGAGUAACAAGAAAGAACUGCAGAAAUUACGCGACAGAUAACAAGAUGCAGUAAAUAACAGUGGAGUAAACACAGAAUUCAAUCAGAUAAAGAAUUCCUGAGGAUGGGGUAAUUGAGUAGUUUCGUUUCCUCAGUUUACAGGUGAUUGACAUGCUCAAUAAAUUAACCCUAGACAACAAGUUCAUUAACCAAAUCUAAGUGCCACCGCAACAGAGACUCUCAAGUUAACCUAGUCCCAGACUCAAUCACCAUUGACGAGAGAUAACCUAACAGGCAUUACGAAUCAACAAGUUAAAGCCAAAACGCUCCUUGCAACCAAUACCUUGGUACAGGGUCACGAAACUCUGGAAUUAGUGGUUCAGACAUUUCAUCGAACACCUUUUGGGCGCGGAAAUGUCUGGGCUCAAAUUCCAGUUGAUCAGAAAGCAAUAGGGAUUAAGAACAACUAAUCCAGAAGGGAUAUAUCAACCAAUACUCAAUCACCUAGCAUAUUGAGAAUUCUACACUACUCUAACCCAUCCUCAGAAACCUAUUCACUACUCAGACAUCAUAACAGUAAGCAUAAACGUUGAACAAGUUGAAAACAUGAUAACAACUGUGUAACAACAAGAUGAUAACAGAAUGAACAACAGUAAACGAAAUCAAGAACAAAAGCUGAAUACUGAAUACUAAAUAGAUAAAGAGAAAUCUGGAUUACAAAAGGUCUAGAACACAAGGUCUACGGAAUAAAACUAGAUAAAAACUUGUCUGCCAAAAUGUGAAGUACAUGCUACUUACAGCCAAAUAUUCCGAAACCCUAAUACUUAAAACGACGCAGUAUUGGGACGGAUUAAGAACUGUACUCGACCCAUGUGGUCGAGUGGGAGGUCGAGUGAAUAGCUGGAGUCUUCUUUUCUUCCUUGUGCUCGAGUGUCUGGUUGAGUGCGGAAUGAAGAAGGCUCUGAAGCUUGUCAUCGAGUAUGUAGUCGAGUGGUGGUGAUGGUGAUACUCGACUUCCACGUAGAGUGAAGAGGUCAAGUAGUGGUCUGGCAAUGAAGGUGAAGACACUCGGCCUCAGGGUCGAGUGACGUGAUCGAGUGAUGGUCAGGUGAUGGGAUGAAGACACUCGACCUCGUGGUCGAGUGAUGUGGUGAAGUAGUGAUGUCCUCUACUCGACCAGGGGGUCGAGUGAUCUGUUGAGAUCUUGAAGCUCCUAAUCGACCUCGGGGUCAAGUCGUUUGAUAUGAUCAGGCCCGCUUCUUCCAGAUAGCUUGUCAACAGCUCCAAAUCACCUGAAAUCAACGCAAAUAUGCAACAUGCAUGCAAAUCUAUCCAAAAAUUGUAAAGUGAUGACAAAUGAUGAGAAAUUGUAUAAAACAGUGAUGAUAUGAUGCUAAAGUGAUGACAAAUGGAUGCUCAAAACAUGCAAAAUACACACUUAUCAGCAUUCACCAUCAUUUUCAUACAUUUUGCAUCUUAAGUCGAGUCUAGGACUAGUCUUGCAUACAUUCUGCAUUCUGGAGUUGUUUCAGGUGUUUUGGAGCUAUUGGUGCUCAGAAAGAGGGAAAACAAAACAGAAAGUCACACUUCCACCAAACAUACUCGAUCACCAGUAGCAGAGAGGGAAGCAGUCAGCUCAGUAGUCCAUCCAGACACUUCUACUCGAUCACAGAGGAGACCAGGCAGUCCAUUCUGCCAGAUAUACUCGACCGUAGAGGAGAGGAGGCAGUCCAUUCUGCAAUUCUACUCUAUCGCAGAGGCAACCAUGCAGUCCACUUUGCCAGUCCACCAGUUAUACUCGAUCGCAGAGGAGAAGAACCAGUACAUCCUGACAGCUGACACACUUACUCGAUCACAGAGGCCAAGAAGCAGCCCAGAUCAUUCUGUCAACCAACCUACUCGACCACCACCUCGACCCUCUGAUCAAUCCGCACUCAACCAGAUAACCUGAGCAUCGGAAAGAGAAGAGAAGAGAAGAGAAGGCCCAUUCGAAACCCAUUCAAAGCCCAUCAGGAAGCCCACUUUGAGCCGACACUCUUGAUCACGCCGUCCAUGGGCCGUUAAGUGGGCUCGAAGCCGAGUUAACAUCUACAGGUCACCAAGUUUACUCGACCAUGGAGGCAUCCCAACUGCCCGUUUUCACUCGAUCACCAAGGCGACACUUUAGACCAUUUCUCAGACCAAUAUACUCGACCGUCGGACCAAACGUCAUGUGAACCCUGCGAUCGAGUAUCAUGCACCAGAGGAGGAGGAACAACAACAAGGUCCCAGUAUUCCAUGGGAUUACACCAGAGAGGAGAUGGCACACACAACCAUCAUUGUAUAUACCAUUUUCUGUUUUCGUUUUGUUUUAGUGUCUCUUGAACUCUUCUUUAGACUUCUAUUACACAAGGGACUGUAUAGUUUAAGUUUGGGGGAGGAUUCAAGAAGUAUUUAACAUGUUUGCUAGUGAGUCUUAUUUGCAUCAUUUGAGUCUUAACUUCAUCUAAGACAUAGAAAAAAAAUAAAAAAAAAAUGAAAACAUUUCUGAAAAUGUAUUCCACAAAAACAGAGUGUUCAUAUAGUUGCAUCACAUUUAGGAUUGAGUCUAGGAUGUUUCAUAUAGGAUUGUCGCAUAUGCAUUGGGGAUUAUGAUGAGAUAGCCUUGUAAGCAUUUUUGUUCAUCGUUUCUAGUUGUCUGAUGUGUAGUCAAUGAAAUUGAAGUAAAACUGCACCAUGUCUUGAAUGCUCUACUCGAUCACACUGUUAUUAUCUGAUACCAUUCCCUAUCAAUUUGAACCUGAAUCUGACUUGCAAUUAUCAUGUCUUAGCAUCGAAUUUGAACUCAUGGAUACCAUAUACAUACUUGGGUUUUCUUUAAACUUUUCACCACCCUUGCUAACCCAAGUAGCUGCUUCCAUCAUUGAAGUAGUUUCCCUUGCCCUUAACCAAACCUUUCUUUCGAGCCCUGUUAUAUAUCGUGUGCGAUUGUGAGGCCUGUUUCAGGAUUGAGCUUGGAAGAAAGUGUUAGGUUUGAGCCGACAAGAGUAGUGUCUCAUGUAGUUCUAGUCCACGUUUUCUGGGCUAGAUAGGACAAGGUGGGUGUCUAUUCUUGAAGUGGGGAUCGAGUAUAUGAGAAAAUAAGAGAGAAAGGAAAUGUUGAUGUUCUUAGGAGAAGGAAGUUGAGAAACAAGUUAGUCUAGUAAUGGAUUUUGGGGAACUAAAAAAAAAAUAGGCUCACAACAAAAGAAAAAAAGUCUAGAAAAGUCUUGAUCACAAGAAGAUAACAUGAGCCAUAGUUGUCAAAGAAAACCAAAGUCCACUAGAUCCAACAAAGUAAAAGAAACUUCUCCUUAGAAUAAGAGUCAAAGAAAAGAAAGAGUGGUUUGAUCCAAGAUAAGAAUGAGAAAAAAAUGCCUUGAGUGCAAAGGGUAGAACUAGGAUCAUAUUCUGGGCUUAAGGGUAGUACCAUCUGCUGGUGUAUACACUGUGUAUGUUUUUGGGUAGAUGGGAUACUAUUCUUGUAUGCAUAGGUUGGCUCUUACCUUUAGCAUUCUCCUAAAGCUCAGUCCAUUUCUUUUCAGAGUCCCCUGUUACUAAACUUGAACCACCAGAAAGGGACCAUCUGUGUCUCUUGACCUUCACCUUAGCCAAAUGAGUUCAUUGAUGAUGCAUAGCUUGAUUCACGUUCCUAAUCUAAUGAAUGUUAAAGGGAUUGGUAGAUUUGAAAGCAUGUGUAGGUCGAGUAUAAGAGUGGGAUUGAACUAUAAUAAGGCAUGGCUAACGUUUUUGAGUAGAGUUCGAUAAUAUGGCAUCCUAGAACUGCCAACUUGGACAUUGAUUCUAUCUGAUUUAUUUGAUGCUUUGGUUCUGAAUCCCCACCUUCAAACCUCUCCUUCAGCUUAUGUCUACUUGUUUGCUUGAGGGCAAGCAAAGACUAAGUUUGGAGGAGUUGAUAUGUGUAUAAUUUGCAUGUUUUACACAUCCUUUAAUCACCAUUUUGAGUCUAGUUUCAUCCAUCUUUCAUAGCAUUCACCAUCAUUUUCGUACAUUUUGCAUCUUUAGUCGAGUCUAGGACUAAUCUUGCAUACAUUCUACAUUCUGGAGUUGUUUCAGGUGUUUUGGAGCUAUUGGUGCUCAGAAAGAGGGAAAACAGAACAGAAAGUCACACUUCCACCAAACAUACUCGAUCACCAGUAGCUGAGAGGGAAGUAGUCAGCUAAGCAGUCCAUCCAGACACUUCUACUCGAUCAUAGAGGAGACUAGGCAGUCCAUUCUGCCAGAUAUACUCGACCGCAGAGGAGAGGAGGCAAUCCAUUCUACAAUUCUACUCUAUCGCAGAGGCGACCAUGCAGUCCACUUUGCCAGUCCACCAGUUAUACUCGAUCGUAGAGGUGAAGAACCAGUACAUCCUGACUGCUGACACACUUACUCGAUCACAGAGGCCAAGAAGCAGCCCAGAUCAUUCUGUCAACCAACCUACUCGACCACCACCUUGACCCUCUUAUCAAUCCGCACUCAACCAGACAACCUGAGCAUCGAAAAGAGAAGAGAAGAGAAGGCCCAUUCGAAGCCCAUUCGAAACCCAUUCGAAGCCCAUCAAGAAGCCCACUUUGAGCCGACACUCUUGAUCACGCCGUUCAUGGGCCGUUAAGUGGGCUCGAAGCCCGCUUUCUUAUUUUAGUAUAAAUAAGUCUCUAAGGGUUUCGCCCUGGGACAUGCACUUUUAGAGACACGAAUUUUGCACUAUUAUUCAGCAGCCGCUUUUCAUUCCUGCAAUUUUAUAUUUCGAUUUUUCUUCUAAGUCAUUCAGAUUUUGCUUUCAUUUGCUUGUUCAUCUUUCGUUUCUAUGUUAUUGUCUUUAAGCAUGUUGUCAGAGUAGUGACUCAGAAUUCUUAAGGAUGGGUUAGAGUAGUUGUGGAAUCCGUAGUCUGUAGAAUGGUUAAGUCUUAGAAUUGAUUGAAUCCCUUCAGGACUAGUUGUGUUUACUGCUUAUUUCUUUCUAAUCAACUGGAAUUCGAUCCCAAGCAUUCCCGCACCCAGAAGGUGUUCUAUGGAAUGCUUGAUCCACUAGUUCCUGAGAUAUUCGUCUCUAUCCCAAGGGAUUGGCCGUUUAGAGCGUUUAUUGACUUUAUCAGUCUGUUCUUAUUGCCUGCAUAAUUAGAUUCCGUUAAUGGGAAUUAGUCUGGGCUAGCUUUGCUUGAGGAUUUCUAUCAAGGGAGUGAAUUGAUCUGUUGUUGAACCUGUUGUCUAGGGAUACCUUGAUUGCGCUUGUUAACCAUUCGGAUAGGCUAGGAUACCACUCUAUUCGAUUACCCCAUCCUUAGGAAUUUCUCGUCUAUCUGAUUUCUCUGUUUUAUCGUUAUCGCUUAUUCGUUCUCAUUGCCUGUUUCUUCGUUUUUGCAAUUACUCGAUCAACUUACUUGACCACACCCAGUGUCUGGUAACAGACUGUGCAGUCGAGUACAGUUGUCUCAUUUCCUGUCUGUUACUCGACCAGAAUACUCGACCACACCCAGUGUCUGGCAACAGACUAUGCAGUCAAGUAUAUCUGUUUCAUAUCCUGUCUGUUACUCGACCACAUCCUACUUCUGGCAUCAGCCUGUUGUGGUCGAGUGAUUUUAGUAAUUCUAUUAUUGUUUCUGUUUUCUGCAUGUUCGCUUAGGACUGUUAGAAACCCCAAAACUGUUAUUGCUUGGCUUGACUUAGUGACUUUUGAUCACAUCUCAUCUGUUUGCAUCACACCCAUUUGGAUUGACACCUAAAAUACUACAACGACAUGAUUGGUGUUUUAGGAUAAUUGACCAUAAAAAACUACUAUCAGAUAACUCCCAAAGAUUUAAUCUAAUCCUUCUCAAAACUAAAUAACUUAUUUCUUAAGUAAUACUCAAGCUUACUCCAACAAUCUCCCCUUUAAGCUUGAGAUCACUCCUCUUCACUUCUUGAACACCCAUAAGAUCUCUCAUCUCUUUAAACUUCAUUCUCCCAAGUGCUUUAGUUAGGAUGUCUGCCUUUUGCUCAUUCCCCGGAACAUGCUCUACUUCCACUUGUCCAUUUUCGACGCAUUCUCUUAUGAAGUGGUAACGCCUAUGAAUGUGCUUGCUUCAGCCAUGGAAGACCGGAUUCUUGGUAAGGGCGAUUGCUGAUUUGUUGUCGAUUCUUAUGAGCACCUUCUCGCUUGGUUCUCCUAUAACUUCACUAAGCAAGUCUUGAAGCCAAAUUGCUUGCCUAGCUGCUUCUGUUCCUGCCAUAAACUCUGCUUCACAUGAGGACAUUGCCAUUGUUUCUUGUUUCUGUGAACACCACGAGAUGGGACUCUCUCCAAGGUAGGAAAUGUGACCGGCUGUACUCUUGCCAUCAUCAGGAUCAACAUUGUGGUUGCUGUCACUAUAGCCUACUAGCUUUGGUAUCUUUUCACUUGAUCGUUUAAAUACCAAACCGAGUGUAGUCGUACCUUUCAAGUACCUCAAACAUUGUCUCAUUGCAGCACCAUGUGAUUCAUUUGGAUCUUGCAUGUAUCGACUUAACACUCCCACGCAAAAGGACAGAUCCGGUCUUGUAUGAAUUAAAUAGCGAAGGCAACCAACUUUUUUCCUGUAUCCGGUAGCAUCAAUUCCUUCUUCAUGAUGUGAUUUGGACAAUUGCAAACCAGAUUCCAUUGGUAUGUGCAUCAAGUUACAGUCCUUCAUCCCAGCGUCUUCUAAAAUCUUCAUUGCAUAUCGGUGUUGACUUAGUGUGAUUCCUUGCUCUUGUUGACAGACUUCUAUUCCAAGAUAGUACGUCAAUUUUCCAAGAUCACUCAUCUCGAACUUAGAAGCCAUCUCUCUCUUGAAUCCACUAAUACUUCUUUCAUCUGUUCCGGUUAUGAAAAGGUCAUCUACGUACACUACCACAAGAAGAAAAAUAUUCCCACUUACAGUUUUACGAUAUACUGAUGGUUCUUUGGAACACUUCUCGAAUUGUAGUUCUGUAAGAAUCUGAUUCAGCUUAUGGUUCCAUGCUCUCGGUGCUUGUCGUAAUCCAUACAAAGCUUUGUGAAGCCUAUAGACUUUCCCUUCCUAUCCUCUUUCUUCGAAUCCUUCUGGUUGUGUCACAUACACGGUUUCUCUUAGUUCUCCAAGGAGAAAUGCUGUCUUGACAUCAAGAUGGUGUAUCUCCCAACCAUUUGAUGCUGCAAGGUUCACAAGUAGUCGUUUGGUUUCAAGGCGAGCUACGGGAGCGAACACUUCUUCAAAGUCCACUCCAUAGCGCCAAAACGUAACCUUUCGCGACCAAUCGAGCCUUGUAUUUGUUGAUGCUCCCGUCCGAGUUGCGUUUGAGUUUAAAAACCCACUUUAGACCUAUACGUUUAACUCCAUGCGGCAGAUCUUCAAGACUCCAUGUCUUAUUCUUUGUUAUUGAAAACAUCUCUUCUUCACACGCAAGUGUCCACUCUCUGGACUCCUUAGCCUCACUGAAACUGCUCGGUUCGUUAUUCAAUAUUAGAAGUAGCCUUUCUCCUUCUUCUUCUACAAGUAAUGCAUAGUCUUCAAGGUACUUUGGUCUUAUGGUUUGUCUUUGCGAUCUUCUUAGAUUAGGUUGUUGACUUUCUGUUCCAAGAUCAGCAGAGACUUCUUCAUUUUCUGCAAAGGUUUCAUGAUCAUGUUGUUCUUCAUUCACGUGAAUAGGCUGUGUUUGCUCUGUCUCACCAUAUUCGUUGUCUUCUUCUUGUAGACCAUGAUUCCCGAAUUCUCCAAGUGUGACACUGAAGCUUCCAUCUUGUUUAGGUUCGUUGUGAUUCCAAUCCCAUCCUUUUUCUUCAUCGAAUACAACAUCUCUACUCACCACAAUUUUCCGAUUUACUGGGUCAAGUAGACGAUAUGCCUUUGAACCCGGCUCAGUACCUAGAUGAACUAGCUUUCUCGACCUGUCAUCUAGUUUCCUCAAGUGUGGUGUCUCCACUUCUGCGUAUCCAAUGCAGCCAAAUACUGUGAGAUGAUUCACGUUUGGUUUCUUUUGGUAGAAAGCUUCAUAUGGAGUGUUGUCAUUCAACGAUCUUGUAGCUAUCCGGUUCAGCAGGUAGGUGGCGUGUCAUACUGUUUCUCCCCAUAAGUAACUAGGUAUAUGCAUGUGUUUCAUGACACUCCUUGUCAUUUCCAUUAGAGUUCUGUUUCUUCUUUCAAAUACACCAUUCUGUUGUGGUGUAUAUGGAGCAGUAAGAUGUCUUUUAAUACCCGAUUCUUCACAAAACUUAGUGAACUCAUGUGAUACAAACUCUCCUCCUCUGUCUAUUCUGAAAGUCUGAAUUUUGCUUCCAGAUUCUUGUUCAACUAAGACCUUGAAGCGCUUGAAUUUAUUGAGAGCAUCACUUUUCUCCUUAAGUAGAGUUGUCCACAUGUAUCUAGAAUGAUCAUCAAUAAUGACAAAGAUGUACCUGUUUCCUGCAGCUGUGCUUGGUGUUAUAGGACCACAUAAGUCUCCAUGAACGAGUUCAAGUAUCUUGGUGGCUCUGUAUGAGGUUGCUUGCGGGAAAAAUUGCCUUGAUUGCUUCCCAAACAAACAUGAAUCACAAACUUCUUUUUCGAUCUUAACGUGUGGGAUCCCUCUUACUAGCUCCUUUUGUAUCAUUGACUUGAUUGUGUCGAGAUUUAUGUGUCCCAAUCUUGAAUGCCAUCUACUUGAUUCGCUGAGGUUUGUUAGAUAUAGACACAUUGUUCCUCUUUUUGCCAUCCGAACCUUAUUAAGUCGAUUCUUUGAUCUUGUUGCUUUGACAAGUAAUUUUCCCUCUCGGUCAUGCAUUGUUAGAAUGUCAUCCUUCAUUCUUAUGUCACAGCCUGAUUCUCUAGCUUGUCCCAAGCUAAUGAUGUUGCUUUUUAAAUCUGGAAUGAAAUAGACAUCUGACAUUUUUCUUUGUUCGCCAUUCCUGUCAAAAAACGAGAUCGUUCCUUUCCCUUUGAUAUCAAUCCGUGAAUCAUCGCCAAAGCGUACUUUCCCGGUGAUAGAAUUAUCUAUACUAGUGAAGUAUCUUUGAUCUCCUGUCAUGUGGUUACUUGCUCCGUUAUCGAGAUACCAAACAUCAUUCUCUCCAUUGUUAGUUUCAUAGUUGCUUGGAAUACAAUUCUUCUCAUUUAGAUACACAACUUCGUGAACCAUGAGUUCAUCUGCAGUUUGUGUAUCGUCUUUCUCGUUCUCUUGGGCUUCCUGCAACUUGAAAAGACGAUUCGGGCAGUCAGAGGCGUAGUGACCUAAUUUGUCACAUCUAUAGCAAGUUACUUUGGAUGUAUCUCUUCCACCAUUCGACCUUCCUUGUCCUCUUCCUCUGUAAUAAGAGCGUCCUCCUCGACCUCUUCCUCUGUAGCAGUUGUUGUACUCUUGAUUUGUUUGGUAAUCUUGAUUAGUAUACAACAACUUGCUUUGAUCUUCUUGUGGUUCUUCAUCAUCUACCACUCGUUCUUCAUAUACUUUCAUUCGUCCUACAAUGUCUUCAAAUCCGUUUGUGUUAAGAUCAAGAACUUGUUCGAGUGAUGCAACUAUGUGAAUGAAUUUCUUUCGAGGCAGACUUGAGAGAAACUUCUUCACUAGUUUUGGUUCUUCGAUUUGAACUCCUAAAGCUGCAGAUUUGGAUGCAAUUUCUGCUAACUUUCCUACAAAAUCAUCAAUCUUCUCAAUAUCCUUCAUCUUCAAGCGAUCAAAGUCAUUCAUUAGAGUCUGUAGUCUCGCUUCUCUAACUCGUUCUGCUCCCACGUUCCUCGACCGAAUAGCUUCCCAAACCUUCUUUGCUACUUUAAAUUCUCCAAUUUGCAAAGCUAGGGAUUCGGGUAUGGAUUGAAUCAUUAAAGCUAUAGCCAUGAUGUUCUUGUCUGCAUCAACGGGUUCUGUUGACUCUGUUUCAAUAGCUUCCCAGACUUUGUGUACUUGAAGAGCAAUCUCCAUCUUCAUAGCCCAUGCCGUGUAAUUUGUUUGAGUUAGCAUAGGGCAUUGGAUCGAAGAAGUUCCUCCUCCUUCUUUUGGUUUCGUUCCCGACGUAACUAUUUUGCUCAUAUCUUCUCCUUACAAAUUCUUCUUUAUGGUCUCAAGAUUUGUAAGCUCUGAUACCAAUUGUAGUUUAGAGAUGUGUUUAAGAACUCAAAGUAAAGAAUAACUCUCUUUAAUCUCUUUAGGAAAAUUACUCAAAACCUAAAGCUAUUGAUCUCUUCACAAUCUCUAAAAAACGAUAAGGUUAACCACAACUUUGGUAACUCUUAUAUAGAGAUCAAUAGAUAAUUCUAGAAUAAACAUUUAGAUUAAUAUUAGAUAACUCCUAAUAAUAUCUUUAGAUAACUCCCAAAGAUUUAAUCUAAUCCUUCUCAAAACUAAAUAACUUAUUUCUUAAGUAAUACUCAAGCUUACUCCAACAGAUACAAAGCCAGACAUUCAUACGGACUUUGGUUACACCAUUAAAGCUUUGAGAGGCAAGAAGAAGCUUGGUUAGUUUUGGAGUCAAAUAUGCCUAGAUGGCAUGUGUAUGAUUGAGUACAAGAACUCGAACCGCAACUGGAUCUUGAAAGCCCAAGUAGUGUUUCUUUGUUAGAAGAUACAACGCCAAUGACUCAUACGGACUUCGGCUACACCAUCAAAGCUUUGAAAAAUCUUGGUUUAUGUUUUGGAGUUAAAUAUAAAUUGAUGUCCUGUCUGUGGUUGAAUAUUAGAACUUGAACCGCAAACGGAUCUGAAAAGGAAAAGUAGUGUUUCCAUGCUAGAAGAUACAAAGCCAAAGACUCAUACGAACUUCGACAUCCCCAUCAAAGCCUUAGGAAGCCAAAAGAAGCUUAGUUAGUUUUUUGGAGUCCAAUAUGACUAGAUUGCAUGUGUAUGAUUGAGUAUAAAAACUCAAACCGUAACCAGAUCUUGAAAGCCCAAGUAGUGUUUCUUUGUUAGAAGAUACAAAGCCAAAUACUCAUACGGACUUCGGCUACACCAUCAAGAAGCAAGAUGAAGCUUGGUUAGUGUUUUGGAGUCAAAUAUGAAUUGAUGUCCUGUGUAUGAUUUAGUAUAAGAACUAGAUUGGCAACCGGAUAUUGAAAGCCCAAAUAGUGUUUUCUUGUUAGAACAGACAAAGCUAAUGACUCAUACGGACUUCGGCUUCACUAUCAAAGCUUUGAGAAACAAGAAGGGGCUUAGUUAGUGUUUUAGAGUCAAAUAUGACUUGAUGUAAUCUGUAUGAUUGAGUAUAAGAACUAGAACCACAACCGGAUCUUAAAAGUCUAAGUAGUGUUUCCUUGUUAGAAGAUACAAACCAAAGACUCAUACAGAUUUUCGAUUACACCAUUAAAACUUUGAGAAGCAAGAAGAAUCUUGGUUAGUGUUUUGGAGUCAAAUAUGACCAGACGACAUUUGUAUGAUUUAGUAUAAGAACUCGAACUACAACCUAAUCCCGAAAGCCCAAAUAGUGUUUCCUUGUUAGAACAUACAAAGCCAAUGACUAAUACAGAUUUUGAUUACACCAUUAAAACUUUGAGAAGCAAGAAGAAUCUUGGUUAGUGUUUUGGAGUCAAAUAUGACAAGAUGGCAUGUCUAUGAUUUAGUAUAAAAACUCGAACUACAACCAGAUCUUGAAAGCCCAAGUAGUGUUUCCUUGUUAGAAGAUACAAAGCCAAAUUCUCAUACGGACUUUGGUUAAACCAUCAAAGCUUUGAGAAGCAAGAAGAAGCUUGGUUAGUGUUUUGGAUCAAAUAUCACUUGAUGUCAUGUGUAUGGUUAAGUAUUUGGACUAGAUCUUGAAACUUAUCCCAAAAGCAAAAGUAGUGUUUCCAUGCUAGAAGAUACAAAACAAAAGAUUCAUACGGACUUUGACAUCACCAUCAAAGCCUUAGGAAGCAUGAAGAAGCUUGGUUAUUGUUUUGGAGUCAAAUAUGACUAGAUGACAUGUGUAUGAUUGAGUAUAAAUACUCAAACCGCAAUCGGAUCUUGAAUGCCCAAGUAGUGUUUCCUUGUUAGAAGAUACAAAUCCAAAGACUCAUAUGGACUUCGGCUACACCAUCAAAACUUUGAGAAUCAAGAAGAAGUUCUGUUAGUGUUUUGGAGUCAAAUAUGACUGGAUGUCAUGUUUAUGAUGGCGUGUAAAACUAGAACCACAACGCGAUAUUAAAAGCCUAAGUAGUGUUUCGAUGUUAGAAGAUACAAAGCCAAUGACUCAAACGAACUUCAGCUAGACCAUCAAAGCUUUGAGAAGCAAGAAGAAGCUUAGUUAGUGUUUCUGAGUUAAAUAUGACUUAAUGUAAUAUGUAUAAUUGAGAAUAAGAACUAGAACCACAACUAUAUCUUAAAAGCCUGAGUAGUGUUUGCUUAUUAGAAGAUACAAAGCUAAAGACUCAUGUGGACUUUGGUUACACUAUUAAAGCUUUGAGAAGCAAGAAUAAGCUUGGUUAGUGUUUUGGAGUAAAAUAUGACUACAGGUCAUGUGUAUGAUUGAGUAUAAAAACUCGAACCGCAACCUCAUCUUGAAAGCCCAAGUUGUAUUUCCUUGUUGGAAGAUACAAAGCCAUAGAGUCUUACGGACUUCGGCUACACCAUAAAGACCUUGAGAAGCAUGAAUAAGCUUGGUUAGUGUUUUGGAGUCAAAUAUGACUUGAUGUGAUGUGUAUGAUGGAGUAUAAGUACAAGAACCACAACCUGAUCUUAAAAAUCUAAGUAGUGUUUCGUUGUUUGAAGAUAUAAACCCAAAGACUCAUACGGACUUCGACAUCACCAUCAAAGUUUUAGGAAGCAUGAAGAAGCUUGGUUAGUGUUUUGGAGUCAAAUAUGACUAGAUGGCAUGUGUAUGAUUGAAUAUAAAAACUAAAACCGCAAUCGGAUCUUGAAAGCCCAAGUAGUGUUUCCUUAUUAGAAGAUACAAAGCCAAAUACUCAUACAGACUUCGGCUACACCAUCGAGAAGCAAGAAGAAGCUUGAUUAGUGUUUUGGAGUCAAAUAUUAAUUGAUGUCCUGUGUAUGAUUGAGUAUAAGAACUAGAUUGGCAACCGGAUCUUGAAAGCCCAAAUAGUGUUUCCUUGUUAGAAGAUACAAAGCCAAUGACUCAUACGGACUUCAGCUACACUAUCAAAGCUUUCAGAAGCAAGAAGAGGCUUAGUUAGUGUUUUAGAGUCAAAUAUGACUUGAUGUCAUGUGUAUGAUUGCGUAUAAGAACUAUGAUAAUAGGUUCUUACUCAAUUAAUCCUAAAACACUAAUCUUGUCGUUGUAGUAUUUUAGGUGUCAAUCCAAAUGGGUGUGAUGCAGACAUAUGAGAUAUAAUCAGAAGUUUCUAAGUCAUGCCAAGCACAAUUUGGUUGGUUUUCUAACAGUCCUAGUGUUGAUGCAGUAAACAGUAAAAAGUCGCAGAAAUGACUGAUAUACUCGAUUGCAGGGUCGACUCCCAGAAAGGACCCUGUGAUCGAGUACAAUAGAAUGACAGAGAGUAAAAAUGCAGAAAUGGACCAGUUUACUCUAUCACACAGUCUCACUGUCAGUAGCAGGGUGUGAUCGAGUAGGAUGGUUGAAAACACGAAAAUACUAAAAUUCAAUAGCAAGUGAAUGAAGUAGGUAAGUAAACAAAGAAAUCAAUUGGAUGAGAAACUCAUAAGGAUGGGGUAAUCGAAUAGUGUGGUCUCCCUAAUCAAUUCAGUUGGUUAACAAAUCUCAAUUAAGCUAUCCCUAGACAACAGGUUCAACAACAGAUUAAUACACUCCCGUGAUAUAAAUUCUCAAGCAUAGCUAGACACUGACCUAAUUCCCAUUAGCGAUCUCUAACUAAGCAGGCAAUAAGAACCGACUGUUAAAGCCAAUAACCGCUCUAAACGGCCAAUCCCUUGGGAUAGAGACGAUUAUCACUGGAAUUAGUAGAUGCAACGUUCUAUAAAACGCCUUCUAAGCGCUGGAACGUCUGGGAUCGGAUUCCAGUUGAUCAUAAAGGAAUAAACAGUAAACACAACUAAUCCAGAAGGGAUUCAAUAAAUCUACACUUAACCAACAGAUUCGACCAGGGGUUCCACAGCUACCCUAUCCCAUCCUUAGAAACUCUAAUCACUACUCAGACAACAUGCUUAAAGACAACAACAUAGAAACGAUUGAAUAUUGCAUACUAAAAAUAUUAAAGGGAAUGAAACAAAGAUGAACAAGCAAAUGAAAUCAAAAUCUGAAUAACUUAGAAGAAAAAUCGAAAUACAAAGUUGCAGGAAUGAAAAGUGGCUGCUGAAUACUAGUGCAAAAUUCGUGUCUCUCAAAGUGUAUGUCUCAAGGCGAAACCCUUUGAGACUUAUUUAUACUAAGAUAAGAAAGCGGGUUUCGAGCCCACUUAACGGCCCAUGGACGAUGUGAUCAAGAGUGUCGACUCAAAGUGGGCUUCCUGAUGGACUUCGAAUGGGCUUCGAAUGGGCCUUCUCUUCUCUUCUCUUUCCGUUGCUCAGGUUGUCUGGUUGAGUGCGGAUUGAUCAAAGGGUCGAGGUGGUGGUUGAGUAGGUUGGUUGACAGAAUGGUCUGGGCUGCUUCUUGGCCUCUGUGACCGAGUAUGUGUGUUAGCUGUCAGGAUGGAUUGGUUCUUCUCCUCUGCGAUCGAGUAGAAUUGGUGGACUGGCAAAGUGGACUGCAUGGUCGCCUCUGCGAUUGAGUAGAAUUUUCAGGAUGGACUCCUUCAACUCUGUGAUCGAGUAGAACUGCAGUUGGGAUUGACUCCUCUCCUCUGCGAUCGAGUAUAAGUGUCUGGAUGGACUGUUGAGCUAACUGCUUCCCUCUCUCCUACUGGUGAUUGAGUAUGUUGGUGGAAAUGUGACUUUCUGUUCUGUUUUUCCUCUUUCUGAGCACCAAUAGACGCAAGACUAGUCCUAGACUCGACUAAAGACGCAAAAUGUACAAGAAUGAUGAUGAAUGCUAUGAAAGAUGGAUGAAACUAGACUCAAAGUGGUGAAAACAGGAUGUGUAAAACAUGCAAAUUAUAGACAUAUCAACUCCCCCAAACUUAGUCUUUGCUUGCCCUCAAGCAAACAAGUAGACAUAAGCUGAAGGAGAGGUUUGAAGGUGGGGAUCCAGAACCAAAUCAUCAAAUAAAUCAGAUAAAAUCAAUGUCCAAAAUGACAGUUCUAGGAUACGAUAUGAUGGAAUUCUACUCAAAAACGUUAGCCAUGCCUUAUUAUAGUUAAAUCUCACUCUUAUACUCGACCUACACAUGAUUUCAAAUCUACCAAUCCCUUUAACAUUCAUUAGUUUAGGAACGUGAAUCAGGCAAUGCACCAUCAAUGAACUCAUUUGGCUAAGGUGAAGGUCAGGAGACAAAGAUGAUCCCUUUCUGGUUGUUCAAGUUUAGUAACAGGGGACUCUCAAAAGAAAUGGACUGAGGUUUUGGAGAAUGCUAAAGGUAAGAGCCAACCUAUGCAUACAAAAAUAGUAUCCCAUCUACCCAAUAACAUAGACAGUGUAUACACCAGCAGAUGGUACUACCAUCAAGCCCAAAAUAUGAUCCUAGUUCUACCCUUUGCACUCAAGGUAUUUUUUUUUCUCAUUCUUAUCUUGGAUCAAACCACUCUUUCUUUUCUUUGACUCUUAUUCUAAGGAGAAGUUUCUUUUACUUUGAUGGAUCUAGUGGACUUUUGGUUUUCUUUGACAACUCUGACUCUUGUCCUAACACUUUCUUCCAAGCUCAAUCCUGAAACAGGCCUCACAAUCGUGAUCUUUACUAUAUUACGGUGAGAAAAUUAUAGGUUCGGACAUUGUUUUCAAAUAUUUUGCAUGUAUCAAAGCUCUUAUAAACAAGAUAGGAUAUUCCUACAUAGCUGGUGGGACCCCAACAAAUGGAUCAUGAAGUCUUCAAAAAAGAAUAGAUACGAUUGCAUUGCAUGUAGUAACAGAUGCGAUCAUACCAGCACUAAUGCACCAGAUACCAUCAGAAAUCCGCAGUUAAGCGUGCUUGGGCGAGAGUAGUACUACGACGUGUGACCUCCAGGAAAGUCCUUGUGUUGCAUAACUCUUUUGUUUUCGAUUUUUCUCAUAUUUUUUGUUAAAAAUGUAUUACUCUAUAACUUUUAGACCGUGAGGCCAAACUUGGCAUGUGAUACCUUUUCGGAAAGCCGAAAGAGUGCUCUCAAACGAAUGAGGAAUGGGUUGUUUUUCUACUCCAAAUUUUGACCUAAAUGUACUUUUUAUGGCCUUUUCUUGAUCUUUGCUAUAUUACGGGACAAAAAUUAUAUGUUCGGACAUUGUUUUUGAAUAUUUUGCAUGUAUCAAAGCUCUUAUAAACAAGAUAGGGUAUUCCUACAUAUCUGGUGGGACCUGAUAAUAUGUUUUUAGUCAAUUAUUCUAAAACACCAAGCAUGUCGUUGUAGUAUUUUAGGUGUCAAUCCAAAUGAGUGUGAUGCAAACAGAUGAGAUGUGAUCAGAAGUUACUAAGUCAAGCCAAGCAAUAACAGUUUUGGGGUUUCUACAGUCCUAAGUGAACAUGCAGAAAACAGAAACAAUAACAAAAUUACUAAAAUCACUCGACCACAACAGGCUGAUGCCAGAAGUAGGAUGUGGUCGAGUAACAGGUAGGAUAUGAAACAGAUAUACUCAACUGCACAGUCUGUUGCCAGACACUGGGUGUGGUCGAGUAUACUGGUCGAGUAACAGACAGGAAAUGAGACAACUGUACUCGACUGCACAGUCUGUUGCCAGACACUGGGUGUGGUCGAGUAAGUUGGUCGAGUAAUUGUAAAAACUAAGAAACAGGCAAUGAGAACGAUUAAGCGAUAACGAUAAAACAGAGAAAUAGUAUAGACGAGAAAUUCCUAAGGAUGGGGUAAUCGAGUAGAGUGGUAUCCUGAUAGGUUACGGGUGACGUUGGCUGGUGUGAGAAGAAGGGCGAGAUCAAAUGGAAGGAAAGGCAGAGCUCGUGAGAAGUUCCUGAGGAAGCUUCUAUUUAAAAGUGGCUAAGGCACAAAAAGACAGCUCGCCAGCUCGGCACAGAAAGACAGCUCGCCAGCUCGCCAACUGUGUCGUUUUACUUUUGGGUUAUCGAAAUGCUGCGUUUUGUAUUGAGUCUCAGUAGAUGCUAUUUAAGGAACCUUCCCUUUUAGGGUUUUGUUAUCAAAAUAAACAAUCAACAACAUUAAUCUUGAAAUUCUCUCUCUCAUCUACACUCUCCGCCGUUCAAGGUGCAUUUCCUAUUGUCUUGUUAUUUUAUCAGUCUUAGUCUUUUUCUUGUCUUCGAUAGGGUCAGACCUUAUCAUUGGUGCUUCUUCAUUGGAGAGACCGAUGGCUCCACCGUUACCUAAAGCCACCGCAUCUGAUACCGCCGUCGAGUCACCUGAACUCGGCUCGACAACAACACCACCACCUGAGGAACCUCCGCCAGCUCCACAUUUGGACACACGAGUAGACAAAGUGGAGAAAGAGAUGACUUAUGUCAGAGAGGCUCUAACCCAGAUCCUUAGAAAUCAGAUCUUUGGGGUUACGCGUGAGGGAAGUGCAGCUCCGAUAGGGUUCUCCACUCCGACACCGGCACUGCCUUUACAAGCUUCAUACCCACAACAUCUGGAAGGACCGAAUAGAGGAGUCCGUUUUUCUUCUCCAGCUCCGGCGUUACCAGUCUACACCUCUCAUCCUCAACACUUGGAGGUACAGAACAGAGAGACUCUGUUUUCCGGCACAAAUCAACGGGACACACACCCUCGGCCCUUACUCUUUGACCAGUCGCGAUACCAGGCGUCGACUUCAGAGAUACCUCGACUUCCAGCUUCACCCUUCGAACCGCGUCGCUUUCACUCGUCACCAUUAGAACCACCAGGGUUUCAGCUGAAUGCCUCCACGGGUCUUCCAUCAUCUUCAGGUUUUCCAUCUAAUCCUUCCACGGGGUUUCAGACUACUCCAACCUUCCAAACACAAACGUUUCCGCCUCAAUCUGCGCCACAUCAACCUCGGUUUGAAGCAGCCCCGCGUAGGACUGUGGAUUAUCCGGCUUAUGAAGGAGGCAAUGCCGACGAUUGGUUGUUCCGGCUAGAACAGUGCUUCUUAUCCAAUCGCACCCUAGAGGAAGAAAAACUGGAAAAGGCUGUGUCUUGUUUAACAGGAGCAUCAGUUACAUGGUGGCGCUGCUCUAAGGACAGAGAACAAAUCUAUACCUGGAGGGAAUUUCAAGAAAAGUUCAUGUUACGUUUUCGACCAAGCAGAGGCAGUUCUGCUGUGGAUCAUCUCCUCAACGUGAGACAAACAGGAACCGUGGAGGAAUACAGAGAACGUUUUGAAGAGCUCACAGUCGACUUACCCCAUGUCACAUCUGACAUAUUGGAAUCUGCAUUCCUCAAUGGACUGAGAAGAAGUCUUCGAGACCAGGUAGUUCGCUGUAGGCCAGUGAAUCUUGCAGAUAUUGUUGAGAUAGCUAAACUCAUUGAGUCACAAGAGCGGAAUGCUGUUAGUUACCAAGUGCGAAAUCAAGCUAGAACCAACACAGCUCCAUUCAACAAUCAGGUCUCCACAGGAUCUAGAGUGGUAGACCGUGCUCCAACGAGACAACCCUUCAUUCCUAGUAGGGAUACAACUCGUGCUUCAGGCAGUGGGGAAGCCAGGAACUCAAACCCGUGCCGCUACUGUGGAGAUAGAUGGUUUCAAGGCCAUAAAUGCAAACCACAAAAGCUCAAGGGUCUAGCCAUAACAGAAGAGGUUGAAGAGGAGAGUCCUCUAAUUGAAGAGUUGAAUGAACCACUGACAGAAGAAGAAGGGGAUCCAGAACCUGCAGAAGGUUUCAAGGUAAUGACACUCAGCUCCUUGAAUGAUGAGUCUCAAGAGCAGUCAAUGAAAAUGAGGGGAUACAUUGGCAACACCAAAGUGGUGUUAUUGGUUGAUUCAGGAGCAACUUGCAACUUCAUUAGUGAGGCUUUGGUAAGAGAGAAAGGAUGGUUAGUGACUCAAACUCGCAGUUUUGGAGUUAAAGUUGGUGGAGGCAGAAUCAUCAAAAGUAGUGGGAAGUGUGUCGAUAUACCACUAGAGGUCCAAGGAAUUGAGUUUGUACAAGACUACUACUUAUUUGACUUGGGAGAUUUGGAUUUGGUUCUGGGAUUUUCUUGGUUGGCAGGACUAGGAGAAACAAGAGCCAACUGGAGAGAUUUGAGGAUCAGUUGGCAGAUAGGUCGCACAUGGGUAUCCUUAUACGGCGACCCGGAUCUAUGUAGAGGACAAAUUUCGAUGAGGUCUAUGGAAAGAGUUAUCAAAUACACUGGAACUGCAUAUCUCUUGGAACUAGCAUCUUUGUUUGAAAGCAAGAAACAGGAAGAGCAAACAGCCUUGCAGCCUGCAAUCCAGAGGCUUUUGGAUCAGUACCAAGGGGUUUUUCAAACUCCACAGCUAUUGCCACCAGUUCGCAACAGAGAACACGCCAUUACCUUACAAGAAGGGUCUUCACCAGUCAAUAUCCGACCAUACAGGUAUUCUUUUGCUCAAAAGAAUGAGAUAGAGAAGCUUGUGCGUGAAAUGUUGAAUGCUCAGAUUAUAAGACCUAGCGUGAGUCCAUAUUCAAGUCCAGUUCUCCUAGUGAAAAAGAAAGAUGGAGGAUGGCGCUUCUGCGUUGAUUAUCGAGCAUUGAAUGAAGCUACAAUACCCGAUAAGUAUCCGAUUCCUGUUAUAGAAGAGCUAUUGGAUGAACUGAAAGGAGCCACAGUGUUUUCAAAGUUGGAUCUUAAAUCAGGCUAUUUCCAGAUAAGGAUGAAACUGAGUGAUGUGGAGAAGACUGCCUUCAAGACACAUGAGGGCCAUUAUGAAUUUCUGGUAAUGCCAUUUGGCUUGACCAACGCCCCCUCCACCUUUCAAAGCGUCAUGAAUGACCUAUUCAGGCCAUACUUGCGAAAGUUCGUCUUGGUUUUCUUCGAUGAUAUACUAGUUUAUAGUCCUGAUAUGAAGACACAUUUGAAGCAUUUGGAAACCGUCUUACAGCUACUGCAUCUUCAUCAGUUCUAUGCCAAUUUUAAAAAGUGCACAUUUGGAAGCACUAGGAUCUCAUAUUUGGGACACAUUAUCUCUGAGCAAGGAGUCGCAACAGAUCCAGAAAAGGUGGAAGCAAUGCUCCAGUGGCCUUUACCUAAAUCUGUGACUGAGUUAAGAGGCUUCCUAGGAUUCACUGGCUACUAUCGCCGAUUUGUCAAGAAUUACGGCCAAAUCGCCAGACCACUCAGAGAUCAGUUAAAAAAGAACAGUUUUGAUUGGAAUGAGGCAGCUACUUCUGCAUUUCAGGCUCUCAAAGCAGCUGUUUCAGCACUACCUGUGCUAGUGUUACCAGAUUUCCAGCAGGAGUUUACUGUGGAAACGGAUGCAUCAGGGAUGGGGAUUGGAGCAGUACUGUCACAGAAUAAGAGGCUUAUUGCAUUUCUCAGCCAAGCCUUCUCCAGUCAAGGCAGAAUAAGGUCAGUUUAUGAACGUGAACUGUUAGCCAUAGUGAAAGCUGUCACAAAGUGGAAGCAUUACCUAUCAAGUAAAGAAUUCAUUAUCAAGACAGAUCAACGCAGCCUCAGACAUUUGUUGGAACAGAAGUCGGUGUCCACAAUACAGCAGAGAUGGGCGUCUAAGUUGAGUGGACUGAAGUAUAGGAUCGAAUAUAAACCAGGAGUUGACAAUAAGGUAGCUGAUGCACUCUCAAGGAGACCUCCAACUGAGGCUCUCUCACAGCUCACUAUAACUGGUCCUCCUACUAUCGACUUGACUGCACUAAAGGCAGAAAUUCAGCAGGAUCAUGAGUUGAGCCAGAUACUUAAGAACUGGGCACAAGGGGACCACCAUGAUUCUGACUUCACUGUGGCAGAUGGCUUGAUUUACAGAAAAGGCUGUUUGGUAAUUCCUGUAGGAUCUCCCUUCAUUCCAAAGAUGCUAGAGAAGUUCCACACCAGUCCUAUUGGAGGUCAUGAAGGUGCCCUUAAGACAUUCAAACGACUCACAAGUGAAGUAUACUGGAGAGGGUUGCGGAAAGACGUGGUUAACUACAUCAAGGGAUGCCAAAUCUGUCAAGAGAAUAAAUACUCUACCCUCUCUCCAGCCGGUUUACUAUCACCUCUCCCUAUUCCACAACAGAUUUGGAGUGAUGUCAGCUUGGACUUUGUAGAAGGGUUGCCAAGCUCUAACAGGUUUAACUGUAUAUUGGUAGUGGUGGAUAGAUUAAGUAAGUAUAGUCAUUUCAUUCCACUUAAACAUCCAUUCACUGCCAAGACUGUAGUUGAGGCCUUCAUAAGAGAUGUAGUCAAGCUACAUGGCUUCCCAAACACACUGGUUUCGGACAGGGACAGGAUUUUCCUGAGCGGAUUCUGGUCUGAGUUGUUUAAGCUGCAGGGCACGGGGCUACAGAAGAGUACAGCCUAUCACCCACAAACUGAUGGGCAGACCGAGGUUGUUAACAGAUGUCUUGAGUCUUAUUUGCGAUGCUUUGCAGGGAGGAGGCCUACAUCGUGGUUUCAGUGGUUACCUUGGGCAGAAUACUGGUACAACACCUCGUACCAUUCAGCCACCAAAACCACUCCCUUUCAAGCAGUCUAUGGUAGAGAACCACCAGUUCUGCUCAGGUAUGGCGAUAUUCCAACCAAUAAUGCGAAUGUAGAGGAGUUACUUAAGGAUAGGGAUGGAAUGCUGGUUGAAUUAAGAGAGAACUUGGAGAUAGCUCAAGCUCAAAUGAAAAAGGCUGCUGAUAAAAGUCGACGUGAUGUAGCGUUUGAAAUUGAUGAAUGGGUUUACUUGAAGCUGCGUCCUUAUAGGCAAAGUUCUGUGGCUCAUAGGAAGAAUGAAAAGCUGUCCCAGCGCUACUUCGGUCCAUUUAAAGUGCUGCACCGCAUAGGUCAGGUCGCUUACAAGCUCCAACUACCCGAACACAGCACAAUUCACCCGGUGUUCCAUGUCUCUCAACUGAAAAGGGCUGUACCUCCGUCAUUCACCCCGCAGGAACUUCCCAAGAUACUAUCACCCACACUGGAAUGGAACACAGGACCUGAGAAGCUGCUAGAUAUCCGACAGAGCAACACAAAUUCAGGACCAGAGGUGCUGGUACAGUGGUCUGGAUUAUCAACCUUGGAAUCAACUUGGGAGCCGCUCCUCACUUUGGUGCAGCAGUACCCGGACUUCGACCUUGAGGACAAGGUCAGUCUUCUGCGCGGGAGCAUUGAUAGGUUACAGGUGACGUUGGCUGGUGUGAGAAGAAGGGCGAAAUCAAAUGGAAGGAAAGGCAGAGCUCGUGAGAAGUUCCUGAGGAAGCUUCUAUUUAAAAGUGGCUAAGGCACAGAAAGACAGCUCGCCAGCUCGGCACAGAAAGACAGCUCGCCAACUGUGUCGUUUUACUUUUGGGUUAUCGAAAUGCUGCGUUUUGUAUUGAGUCUCAGUAGAUGCUAUUUAAGGAACCUUCCCUUUUAGGGUUUUGUUAUCAAAAUAAACAAUCAACAACAUUAAUCUUGAAAUUCUCUCUCUCAUCUACACUCUCCGCCGUUCAAGGUGCAUUUCCUAUUAUCUUGUUAUUUUAUCACUCUUAGUCUUUUUCUUGUCUUCGAUAGGGUCAGACCUUAUCAUAUCCUAGCAUAUUCGAAUGGUUAACAAGCGCAAUCAAGCUAUCCCUAGACAAUAGGUUCAACAACAAAUCAAUUCACUUCUGUGAUAGAAAUCCUCAAGCAAAGCUAGCCCAGACUAAUUCCCAUUAACGCAAUCUAACUAUGCAGGCAAUAAGAACAGACUGAUAAAGUCAAUAAACGCUCUAAACGCCCAAUCCCUUGGGAUAGAGACGAAUAUCUCAGGAACUAGUGGAUCAAGCAUUCCAUCGAACACCUUCUGGGUGCGAGAAUGCUUGGGAUCGAAUUCCAGUUGAUCAGAAAGAAAUAAGCAGUAAACGCAACUAGUCCUGAAGGGAUUCAAUCAAUUCUAAAACUUAACCAUUCUACAGACUACGGAUUCCACAACUACUCUAUCCCAUCCCUAAGAAUUCUAUGUCACUACUCAGACAACAUGCUCAAAGACAUAAACGCAGAUAAAUGAUAAUAUUGCAUAAGUAAAGAGAUAAAGAGUAGAGAAACAGGAUGAUAGAUAAAAUCAAAUGCAGAAUCUGAAUAACUUGGAAAAAUCUCGAAUUAUAGGUUGUAGAAGCAAAAGCGGCGCAGAAGAGUAAAAUAGAAAAUAAAACUGAAACAAAAACUCAAUGUCGACUAGAUGUCUCAGGAAAGAACCCUAAGACAUCUAUUUAUACAAAACAAAAUGAUAGUAGACGGGCCAAUAACCUAAUCGCCCGACCAAUAGAGUGAUAAUGGGCCGAGAUGGGCUUUGUGAUCCGAUGGAGGUCCAGGCCGCUUCCAAACACUUUGUCUUCUCCUCUUCUCUUCCUUGUGCUCAGCUUGUCUGGUUGAGUGCGGAUUUGAGUAGACUGUGAAGACGUGAUCGAGUGUCCGGUCGAGUGAUGGUGAUGGUGGUGAGUGAUGAUACUCGACCAGGGGGUCGACUAACUUGGUAGAGUGAAUGGCCGAGUGUGGUCAGGUGGUGUGGCGAAGUGAUACUCGACCAGGGGGUCGAUGGCGUCAUCGAGUAGCCUGAGCUGAGGAUACUCGACUAGGGGGUCGAGUAGAUGGGAAGAAUGGCUCCAAAGUCACUCGACCAGGGGGUCGAGUAUGGUGCUGGAUGCACACGACCUGGUGGUCGAGUAUGUCUUCUGGUUCUGGCUCGUUUCUUCCAAUUUGCUCGCAAACAGCUCCAAAUCACCUGAAAACAACUUAGAAAUGCAAUAUGUAUGCAAAACUAUCCUAAUCAUGCAAAGUAUGCAAGAAUGAUGAGAAAUGAUAUAAAACAGCGAUGAAUGAUACAAAACUGGACUCAAAACGGUGAUGAAUGGACACUGAAAAGAUGUAAAUUAUAGACAUAUCAGGACCCACAGCAAAUGGAUCAUAAAGUCUUCAAAAAAGAAUAGAUACGAUUGCAUUGCAUGUAGUAACGGAUGCGAUCAUAGCAGCACUAAUGCACCAGAUCCCAUAAGAACUCCGCAGUUAAGUGUGCUUGGGCGAGAGUAGUACUAGGAUGGGUGACCUCCCGGAAAGUCCUCGUGUUUCAUCCCUCUUUUUUUUUUUGGUUUUUCUCUAUUUUUUUUUUUAAAAUGAAUGACUCUAUAACUUUUAGACCGUGAGGCCAAACUUGGCAUGUGAUACCUUUUCAAAAAGCCAAAAGAGAGCUCUCUGGUGAAUGAUGAAGGAAAAUGGAAUUCUUCUAUUGGGUUUUUUUUCUACUCCAAAUUUUGACCUUAAUGUACUCUUUUGGCGUUUUCGCGAUCUUUGCUAUAUUACGGGGCGAAAAUUAUAUGUUCGGACAUUGUUUUUGAAUAUUUUGCAUGUAUCAAAGCUCUUAUAAACAAGAUAGGGUAUUCCUACAUAGCUGGUGGGACCCACGACAAAUGGAUCAUAAAGUCUUCAAGAAGAAAAGAUAUUAUUGCAUUGCAUGUAGUAACGGAUGCGAUCAUACCAUCACUAAUGCACUGGAUCCCAUCAGAACUCC
Molecule: long non-coding RNA, 88854 nt
Filed under: Arabidopsis thaliana (thale cress)
Lineage: Eukaryota; Viridiplantae; Streptophyta; Magnoliopsida; Brassicales; Brassicaceae
Description: long non-coding RNA (ATHA_LNC000152)
Source: RNAcentral